ACUAAACAAGGGCUAACUUUGGACAACCAAAAUUACUGUAGCAACGAUGUAACAUUUCGUUUGUAUUUGUCAAUUAUUGUCUAAAUAUUGACUAAUUAGGCUCAAAAGAUUCGUCUCGCAAAGUACAACAAAACUGUGCAAUUAGUUUUUGAUUUCGUCUACAUUCAGUACUCCAUGCAUGUACCGCAAGUUUGAUAUGAUGGAGAAUUUCUUUUUUUAUAGUGUCAAAGUUGGGAUUUUGGGAACCGGCCCUCGUCGUUUAUCCGAGUCACUGUCCAAGUGUGCUUUCCGUGUCACUGUAGAGACACGGUGUACACAGCCCCAUGCGUCAAGUCCAACUGGCAAUCCCUGCCCAGUCACCGCCAGGUGGGCCACACCCUCCCACCUUUCUUCCCACCCUGCUAUAAACUACUCCUCCCUAUAAAAAUGUCACGAAAAGCCUGUUGUUGCCGUCCAUUAGCUUCCCCGGCAAAGCAAGAGCCCCGCCGCCCGCCGACGCCGAGCCACCCACCACCCAGCGGCAUCUCCCCGCUUGCUUCCUUCGCCUCCACUCUACUCCAAGAACCCAGCGGCGGAGAUCGGUGGAGGUCGUCAUCACCAGAGCAACCGGCCGUAGAUGCGAGCGGGCGCGCUCCUGCUCCUCCACCGCCACCUCCACGACAGCGCCAUGGACGGCUACGGCCACACCGGCGGCGGCUCCAAGGCCGCGGCUUUCUCCUCCGCGAGGGGUCCCGCGGGGUUCCCGCCGCCUUUGCCGCCGGAGAAGCGGCGCGGGGCGGCGCUGGCGAGGCGCGGGAGCGUCGGGGCCGCCAGCGGCGACGGCGGCCCGGCGGGCAUCGGGGGAAGCUACCUGGGCGCGGAGGCGGCGGCGCUGCUGGCGUGCGUGACGGCCACGCUGCUGGUGCUGCCGCUGCUGCUGCCCCCGCUCCCGCCGCCGCCGCCGCUCUUCCUGCUCGUGCCCGUCGCCAUCUUCGCCGUCCUGGUCCUGCUCGUGCUCGUCCCCUCCGACGCCAGGGGCGCCGCCAGCACCGCUACGCCCUACUCCUCCUCCUAUAGUUAGCUACCUUAUUAGAUUGGGCGCCCGGCCUUGUCGUCAUGUAAAUGUAAUUAAACGCGGACUCGGUGUGCUCGUCUUGUUCUUCAGAGAUCAAUCCAUGGAGAGGCUUUUGUUUUGCUCGAUUCGAUCAGUCCCGAUUUCGUCGAUGGUUCUUCCCUCUCUGCAUUUGCUUCUGCAAGUACGACGGUGACAAACUGACAACCGUCGAAUUGACUUCAUUCUUGCAAAGUUGCAAUCCAGAAUUCGACCCGGACAUCGAUUCAGAUUUGGAUCCUGAACUCGUAGAGAUCUCUGAUGAUUCCGCCUCCGAGUCCGAGAGCUCUGCAUCAUUGAACUUAGAUGCAGAGCACAGCGACGAUCGAGUGGCAGCUCACGUGCCAGCAGCCAGAUGGGCCAGGGUGAUGUGGGGGCAGAUUCAGUUUCAACUUUCAACUUCCAAGGGAGUCAGAAACUCGUACCAGCGAUAGUCGUCGUGUUCCUCGCGCAGCUUCUAUCCGCGAAACGAGCAGGAUCAUGCAGUUGUUAGGAUUUCCGGGAGUCGUCACUAGCAAGAUCUCAACGAACCUGGACACGAGCUUUCUCCACACGCUACUCUGCACAGAUUUUUUUUUCCCCUUGAAGUGUUGCUGCAGCUAGAAGAAAAGUAAAGUAGUAGCUCGAAAGAUGAUGCGCAUCGAUAGAUUGCGUCACGAGAAUGUUGGAAAAAAUGGGGGCUUGUUCGUCCAUCCAACUAUAUCCAAGAAUCUAGGUGCCUUCCAAAAAGAGAAAUAUUACGGGCCUAGUUAAUGGGUAUCCGGCUCAACACUAGCUACUGUUUCAUACAGGCACGGUUAUGGAUGGGAUGCAUUCCGAGUUUUUCUGUACUAGGCCGCAGAAUACAAAGCCCACACGGCCCUGAGCUUUAAACCAAGCCCACCGCCGACCACCACCCGGCCCACAUGGGUAUUGUCAUUUAUGUAUGGCGGUUGUAGUAGUAGCCCAACUUGCGGCGUAUGCGUGCAAUAAAGCAGGCCGCCCAGCGUGCACGCGAUUGAGCGAAUGGCCCAGCGGGUAGGCCCGAUGCGUGGAAGUAAAAGCGCGCGGCGGUUGGUGGUGGACUGGACGGUGCUCCCAAACCAGACGGAGGAGCCAAUCAUAACUCCCCUGACCAACACUACCCCGUUAUGAUUAUUCGUGUGGACGGCGCCAGGCUCAUGUGCUCGGUUUAGUGCACACUUGGAAAUGUAAUGCAAUUGGCAAGCUCAAGUAUUCGCUGCAUAUAUGUAUGAGACACGUACUGCCGUUUUGUUUUGUUUUUUGUUUUUUUUAAAAAAUGUUGCCACAUUUCUACAAAUAGCUACGACAAGCAUUGGGCCUAUUCAGCUAGACUUAUAAGUCGGCUGAAAAGCUGAAACAACUGAUUUGUUGUGAGAGAAAAACAUCGUUCGGUGGCUAAUAAGCCGGCUGAUAAGCUGAGAAAAACAUUGUUAGCUGCAGUACUCCAAUAGUUCAAUACAAACGUCGAGAGAGGGCAGCUACGGAUCGAGAUACCCUAUGCUUACUACCUCUCUUCUCUCUAUUUAUAUCUAUAUAUCAUUAUCUUUCCAUGCAAUGGUGUUUAUUAUUAUUUGACAUGUUAAUCCAUGUCUUAAGAGCUCUGGUAGGUCUCUGUUUUUUUUAAGACGAGAUGGAAAUGAACAAAUCCCAGCUGCUGUGAAGAUCUCUCCAGUUUAUGCUUAGCUUUCAUAGUUUUCAUAGUAGAAGACCAUGAUCUUUUUCUACCACAAUGUCGAUUUGAAAAAUACUAAACCUAGAUGUGCACUAAUAAGCAGUCCGUAUAUGGUUGUACCUCAAAAUCAAGUUUAUUUUCUGGAGAAAAGAGGCAUUUGUUAUUGUGGUUACUAUUUAUUUAUAUUCAUAGUCCUUCCCUCUAUCAAAAUGAUGUUUCAAAGUUUGGCUAACUAUCUACCUUAUGAAUAAUUAUGAUCGUUGACAGAUCGAUCAUCAUAUGAAGAAUGGCACGUGCGCUGUCAUGUACUCCCUCCGUCCCAAAUUAUAGGUCGUUUUGACUUUAUUAGAUUCAUAGACUUUGUUAUACACUUAGAUAUACCCUAUGUCUAGAUGCAUAAUAAUAUCUAUGUAUCUAGAAAAGUCAAAACGACCUAUAAUUUGGAACGGAGGGAGUACGGUUCUUCUUGUUGUAGUUAAUACUAUAAUGCUUUGGUUCCAAGCAUUGAGUAAAUCCACAUUAUUCCACAACAUUUAUUAAGAACUAUGUUUAUAAACUAAUAACUAGACUUUUCUGAUUUCAGAACUCUGUUUAUGAACCUAUAUACACAUAAGUAUAUAUCAUAAUGCAUAAGGGCUUUCACUUUAAGAUCCUACAGUGCACAUUUAUAAACCCCAAUACAUACGUCUUCAUCAUUUCAUGUAACCAUAAAAGCCGUAAAUGAAUGCUGGAAACAAUAAAUAAAGUGAAAAUGAUUGGAACAUAUAUAUACAUAUAUACGCCUAGCUAAAGACCAGAUGACCAAAUAAUAUUUAUUCCAUUUCUAGUCGAUUCAUAUGCUACAAAGGUCUGAAUUUUCAAAUAGAAAUUGACAUAUCAUUACACCCUCUAUUCAUGUGAUGAACUGAAUAAUAGAGGAACAUUGCAUGGGACUAGAACUGCCUCAUCCUACUCCAUUACACCUUAACCCAUGUCCCAGCCCAAAUAAUUAAGUCUCUACACAUGCAUAUACAUCCGUAUUCAUAUAUAGAAUACGUGCUACUAAGCACGCAUACAGGCAUGAGAAUGCUAGCUUAAUUCUUGCCCUAGAUCAUGCCUGCAUCAUAUGUGUGCGUGCAUGCCCUCGGAAAGUCACUUGAAGUUUGUGCAAACCUUGGGUGAUUCUAGGAGAGGGUUCCAGUCCCAAAUCUUUUCCAUGCUAGGAAAAGGAAGCAAUGGACCUUGUGAUGAUGGCAAGGGCUGGUUAGGGUUUCCCUGGUUACUGUAUGACCCAAUUGCCCUACUCAGCUCAUCUAUGGGAAUGGUUGCCAUUGUAGUGGAGUUUGCAUUAAGCAGGGCGUGUGUGGAAGAAGGCAGCAGCUGUGGGUUGGCGCCCUUCAUGUGGUAGAGUGAUGUACCGUCCUCCUCCGUCGACGUGGUGGAGCUAAGCGAGGCGGUUGACAGGAACGCCAUUGAUGUCUGAGGCGCCAUUGUUGCUGCUGCUCGAGCUGCAGCUGAUGAUGCCAUGAUUGUGCCACUGUAUGGCUUGUUCAUGUGAGCUGAUGAUGAGUGGCCACCGUCGAACAUUGGUGCCAAGCGUGGCGAUGCUGACGUCCGGUGGUGCUUCUUUUCCAUCGAUGCUGCCGCCUUUGAGCCUGAUGAUCUUGUGUUGGUGGUGAGGUGAAAGUUGUCUUCAAUCCCAGGACGUUUAUACACUCGGCAAAGGGAAAUCUCCUGCAUAUAUAAUAUGAAGAUGAAUUGAUCAAGAUUAAUCCAAAAUGAAAUUGGUGUUUGUAAACGCAGACAAGAACAAUUAACGCAUGCAGGAGAGACUACAAGUGUUCUUAUCCAUCCAGUGAUUUGAUCAAACAUAGUACAUACACCUGGUUAUUGAAACAAAGGAAGUUUGCAGCCAGGAAAAAAAGAAGAAGAGAGAUCACAAGUUAUAACAAAACUUUGUUGCGUUAUUGGAAAAAAAAAUUCCAAGGGAAGCAUGUUAUCUUUCAUGUUGCUCUAAAUAAAUAAAGAUAUAUAACGAGUUCAAAGUAUAAUUAAAUUUCCUUUUCAGCUGUGGAUCAUAUAUAUGUUUCAUUGCUUCUAGAGUUCCUACUACUAUUGUUUUAUAAUAACCAUGGAGUACAUGUGUUUUCCCCUUUCGAGUAGUUAGUCAUGCCAGGUUUCCACAUCUUAAAAAGUAAGUUGUAAACUUUUUGGAUAUGAAGGAUGUUGAUGAUGAAUACUUCCAAAAAGGAGGAACAAGCCUUUCCAAAGGAAAAGUGAAGAAAAAGAGUCACCGAUCUGUGAAAAAAUUGGGGAGAACCUUUUUUUUCAAGCUUCCUCCAAGUACUGAAGAAAAAAUUGAGAUGCACCAGCUGCAUGUGAUGCAAAUAGCCUAAUUAACUGUGGAAAAAAAUUGGGAAGGGCAUGCAUACGUAGAUAUCUAAUUCUAAUUAGCUAGGUUGAACCACAACCAUAUGGGGAUCUUAGCUAGAUCUUGCUCAUGCAAUAAUUCUAGGGAGCACCUUUAACACUUUUGCGCAACAGUUUGCCUAUACACAUGAUGCCAGCCGGCGAUCACACGAACAGAAGCUAGCUAGCAAUCAUAUCAACCCAACUUCCAAAAAGUGAGGGGAAUUUUAAGUGGAAGCAUCUUUCAUAGAACACUUUAUGCUUUUCAGGGAUCUCAAAGAAAAUUCAAAAACCAAUCCAAUUAAGGAAAACAAAAAUAUCCAAUGAUAGAUGAACAAAAUUUCUCAACGGAAAAAAGAAACAUCUCUUCACAUAUUAGUAGAUGGAAAUUGCCCAACCUUUUGGUACCGGUCUGCCUCGCCAUGAGGAAGGCGGUACUCGUUCAUGAUCCAGCUGCUCCUGAGGCCCUUGGGCGCCUUCCCCACGUAGAACACCAGAGUCUUCUUCAGCCCGAUGGAGCGGUUACCCUCGACGCGCACCAUCCGAUCUGCCCCUGUGGCCUUCCAGUAGCCCGACGGAGUGACCCGGUUCGGGCGGUCGCCGUUGCGGUACUUGCGGUCUCUCGGCACGUAGAAGAACCACUCCUUGUCCCCAAUUGAAGCCAGAGCUGUUGGUUGUUUAAGUAGCGCAUCCAUGAUGCAUAUAUUAGUCACCAAAGAAAAGCAAGCAUCGCAUGCAAGAAAAAAAAUUUAAAGUAAGCGAAAAAGCUAAAGGCUCACAUGAAAUCAAAACGAGUAAAGGGGGUCACAUGCAUGAAAUCAUGGCAGAUCCCCAUGUUUACUUAUUGGUGCUAGCUUAGCAGGAGCUAGCUGGUAGCCGUCGUUCACAUGCGUUGCUUACCGGGGAGAUCCCACGGGUCGUAGCGGUAGAGGUCGACGAGGUUGAUGAGCUCGAUGUUGAAGCGCUUGCCCUCCACCCUCCGGCGGAGGUAGAAGUCGAUGAGCUCCUCCUCCGUCGGGUGGAAGCGGAAGCCCGGCAUCACCAUGUCGUGCGCUUGCUGCUGUCCAUCGUCGCCGCCGCCUGCGCCGCCGUGGUGUUGGUGGUGGUGGUGAUCUCCUCCCAUGGUCGACGGCGGCCUCGAGUCAUUACCUCCCCUCCCGGCAGCCAGCCUUGCUUUAUAGUAGAAGCAGGAGAAAGAUGAGGAGGAGGAGGAGGAGGAGGAGGAGGACUAGUACAAGACGACGGCCAGCCCUAACUACACCCACACGCCACACAGAGAGGCAGAUGGAGACCCAACUAGACAAGGGGACGGGGCGGCCGGCCUAUACCGCUGCGGGGAGUGGUGUGGUCUCCUUCGGCCCUUGGACGAAUGAGGGUGAUUGGUGCAAGUGGUGGUACCAUUGGUGUGGUGAAGUGAAGGGCCGGCUAGGGGGAGGGAGAGAGAUAAGAAAAGAUUAGAUGUCCACCUAAUUAAAAUUUAUUAAUUUAAACAGCACCAAUUAAGAUGAGGAUCUGUCGAUAUGUGCCGGUAUUAAUGGCUGUUACUUUUAGCUUAGCUAGGUACAUACCACGCCCAAGAGUAUGAGAGAGAGAGAGAGAUCACUGUGCCGUCUUGUAAAGUAGCCCUGGUAAAAAAGAGAGAACGAUGUCGUUAGACUGCUAGGAGGUUCUUACACUGUAGUAGCAGUAGCUGCAUGCUAGCUACAGUAGGAACUGGAAGAGGGGACCUCUCCAACGAAACCUCAGCGGUGGCCUAUAAAUUUGAGCAGUGCUGUGGUGCAGCUGAUCAGCCUUCCUAUAUAAUGGCAUGUCCGGUUCAGCUAUAAAAAUGUUUCUACUGUUUGAGCGUGUAGCUAGAAGGAAGCCAGCUAGCUCAAUCGACUGCACAUCGGCGGAGUGGGACAGUGGCUGUGUUGCAUGUGUGAGAUAGAUUCUCGUAGCAAUUUUCCUGCUCAUGAGUAGCAUCAUACAGAAGCACCAAAUUCACAUAUUUAUCUUGAAAAAUCUCUCAUAAAGGAAACAUAUUUUCAGUCCCAAAAAGAUCAUCUUCUUCACUGUUCAUCUUUAAAAGGCCCUCCAUAUGCAUUUCACAAGUUAUUACAGGUGAAAAUUCAAACCGUUUCACUCAAAUGUUGUGUCUUUGUAUCUUGUGGUACCGAAAAAAAUUCAAUAAAUGUCAAAGAAAUCUGACAAAUAUAUACAAAUACGAUAGGUGCAGCAAAAUUAAAUAACUAAUCGAGAGUAAAUAGCAAAGUUUUGUAUAUUAAAAAAAUUCUAUGCCAAUAAAGAGGUGCACUCGACCGGUGCAAGUUGUCCUCUUGUAUAUUCACGCGUGCAUGUAAGCUAUAUUGGAAUUUGGUCUGCAGGUAAGUACGUGUCUUGGCCUCGUGCUAGCUCCUCCUUUUAUGCUUCAGCCGGCCGGCCGGCGUCCGACGACUCAAAUCAUCUCAUGCUGGCCCAAUUAAUCCUUCAGCUGUUCCUGUCUACCUCAAUAGAUUUACACUUCUUGAAAAAACUAAACCUAGAUGUGCACUAAUAAGCAGUCCUUCUGAUUUGAUUGAUCGCCCCCAGCUAUGAUCUUCUCCAUGAAUUAUGUAUGGGUGCGUACGUGAUAUAUACGAGAGAUUUUACGGUGCUUAGAAAUCUUAAGAGCUGUCUAUCUCCAGAUCGGAUGGUUAAAAAGUAGAAGGAACCUAUUACCUAGCAUUGGUGGGUCAGGAACUAUUUGUAAAAAAUAGAGCAAAGGGUACAUCUGUAUUUUCAUGACUCCCAGCGCCGUCGCAUCACCCCCGGCGGACACGCUUACGCGUUCACGCUGCCCAGCCGACGCAUCCCACCGGCCCACUCCGCAUGCGAUUCGCUCCUCCUCCUCCUCCUCCUCCAACCCUAGGAUCUUGCGGAGCGUGAGCAGGUCUCGGAUGCAGCGCGCGAACGACGUCGAGGCGGAGCCGCCGCCGUCGGAGGAGGCCUCGGCGGCGGCGUCGAGGCCGGCGUUGCCAAGGACAGCGUACAUGGUGCCUCGAGAGUCGGCGAGGAGGCUGCAGUCAUUAUAAUUCUAAUUCUACCAAAUAACCAGACAUUGACUUGUAUAAUCAGCAGUCUCUUAGAUCGAUUAAAAAAAAAGCAGUCUCUUAGAUACUCUACAAGGGAUGUAUAAGUGAAAAUGGUUUAAUUUAACUGGAUAUGCGUACAAUCAUUCCGAACAAUUUUUAAUAAUGAGUGGCCAACAGUUUUGAUGCUUCCCACUAUUUUUCCUUGAAUGACCGACAGUUUUUCUAGUGUAAUUUGCUUCUUUCCUAACAGUUUUAUCAAAUCACCCACAAUGUAAUCCCCCACAAACUCAUUUUUCACGGUUAUGGUAUCUAGUUAUUCAAAUGUACUAAAAACCGUUGGCCAUUUGUAAAGACACUGUUGGAAAAAGUAGUAUUCUUGUAGUGCUCGCAAGAGUUUUUAUUUUUGUAGGAGGGCAAUUAAGAGUUGUAAGGGAUGUAAUCCCCAUCUAUCCCCUCUAAUCCUCUCCGAUUUCCACCAAACUAACAAAUGUCCUUGAAGGGAAGAAAUUCUUCGCUCUGGGAAGAAAUUCUUUUUGCAAGCAAACAUGAGAGUAUUGUUCCAAUAACAAUAUUAAGCACAUACAGAAAAUAAUCUUUACUCCUGGAACAGCAUCAAGACCCGCACCAUUUCAAAUACUAGGUGAAAUUAAUUGAGGAGCUAGCAUUUGACCAUAUUUUUGAAAAUUUCAACACUUCACAUUUUUGCCCGAUAUGUACACCCUUAUAUAUCUACACACACACACAUGCAGUAGUUAGGGUUUGGGUAUGCAUAAUUUUGCCUGUUUAUGGACACAAGUCGGCAUUUAUACCUAGGAUGUCCUUGUGGGGAAGUCUUGCCAUGCAUGCCGGUAAUUUAAGGCAUGUGCCGCUGUUUGCUCCAGCUAGUGCACCGUAGCACAAUUAACAAGAGUACAACACCUGUCAGUGUGUAGUAGCAGUGUCCUUGCGAGGGUUUUGGGGGAGGUUAGAACAUCUCCAUAAUCUCUGUUGUACGAGCAUGCAUCACUGUGAUCAGUCAAGGGAUACCCGUGACUUGUACUCAUGCGCAUCUGUUUGUCGGUCUGUGCGGCUGCAUCCGUUGUGCAUCGGCAAGGGAAGAAUUUCAGUAGCAUAUGUGCAACUGUGUGCAAAAAAAUGCUGUCUAGCUAGAGAGAUGAAUAUCAACUUACUAUAUCAUGAGUCGGACGUAUACUUUUCGAAUAGAUAGAGAUUGCAAAAGCCUAUUGCUACACAAAGUUUGGUACAACCCCACCCCAGGGGCUUUUUGAUAAUGCUCAUCAGCCAUGAGCUGAUACAGUGCGUCCAUCCAUAUCGAUUUUCCAUUCGCGCACUCUCACAAUGCAAAUGCGAUCUUACAAUUCGAUCGAUAUAAAGUUCCUUAGGUAGCUAAAGGAUCAUCCCUUGAUGUCGGAAUAAGGAAUUGUCGUUAUUCAUGCAAUCCUGGAUGGGUAGUUUUCAAAGCACAUGCAUCUUAACAUGAUCAUGAGAUCGAUGAAUAGUUCCGUCGUCACUAGUUGGAUCUUUUUUUUCAACCCCCUCACUUUUUUCUCAAUUGUCGUAUCAAUAUAUAAUUCCCCACACUAAGAGGUGUAAAGGAGUAGUAAAAAUAAUGGAAGGUAAACGGAGUGCGCCUAGAUUAGGAAUGUAUGUUGACAUCCUAUAUAUGUUGACUAUUGCAGUCCAAUCAGAUGUCUAGAAACGUAUGUAAAUGACAACUGGACAAGAAAAAGGAAGAAGAACAGGAAGCCCCUCAUUCUAAUUAAAUAGAUGCAUGAAUGAUCAUCUCUUGAACUAUAUAUUCAUGUACAAUUCUACGGUCUUCCAAUUAUUGAUAGGGACUACAUUCUUGUUUAGUUUUACGCCAAACAUGGGUCUAAAUGAAAGACAGUUCUUCUAUAAACUUUUGGAGGAUUCCCUACCUUACAUCAGGCUUCCUGAAAGAACCAAUAAUCAUGAACAUCUUUUCAUUAUAAGAGCUUCCCUUUAACCUACCAGCUAUAGGCUCUUUAUUUGUCUCUCUUUGUCAAGCUAACAUUUUCUUUUGACUUAUUAAUACCUUGUGCUAGCACAUAGAUUAUGUCAUCUAAGAUUAAUAAAACCAUGAGACAAAAAUGUUUCCUUCCCAACAGUCAGACCGUUUCCAAAAUAUGUUGGCAUCAAAGCUAAAGUCAAGUAAUGUAGUAUAAUAUGUUCGAUCUCAACAACGAUACUAUCAUAGGGUAUAUAUGUAGCUGUGGUAUCUUUCAUACUACUUAUGUAUUCACCUUAAAGUUGUUCUUUGUUACAGCUAUAUGAAGGCUAGAUGCAUGCAUUCUUUUUUUUAAGUAAUAGGUCUUCAUAACUGUACUUUCUUAAAACAGGGGGAAUAUAUAUAGCUGAUUUGCAAGCAUAUAAAGUUGCAAAAUUAAAAAAAAAUCAGUUCACCACAGGAAAAUAGCACAUAACCCGCAUUGUUGAUCGAGCAAGUUGCAUACGAAUCACAAGCUAGAUCGAAAGCAUUAAUGGAUGAUAAAUUCUUGUUCCUUCUUCCACAUGAUGCACCUUUCAAAUUGAAUUCGUCAAGCGGACUCCAUACGGCAAGAACAGUCGCCACUCGGUUAUGAUAUGCUAGGAAACACGUAUGCGAAAAAAAUAAAUGGGUGGCGUAGAUUUACUAGAUCUCUAUAGAUUGUUUAGCAAAUAUCUAGAAAAAAAUUUGAUCCUUGGAAAUUUAAUUGAUUUGUUUGACAAACCAUAAAUGUGUAUGAAAAGUUCAAUGAAUGUGCCAAUACUUUGACUGAUUGAAUAAGAUGGCAUAGUUAUCUUCAUUUACCUGAGAUUGAUCGACAUUAGUUACCUAGCAAUUGCACCGUAAAAUCGAUCUGUGGAUAACUGUUAGCCUUACUUGGUUAUCUUCUCUCUCUUUUUUUUACAAAAUUGUGGGGAUCAAUUCAAGAAAAUAACCAGAAAUGAUAUGAUCAUGACAAAAAUAUAUAGGAGGUAGCAUGUAUGGACCAGAUUUAGCAAUUCUUUAUCUGCAGAUAAUUUUAUAUGUACUUGUCAUCAGAAAUAUGUUGUCAUCUUUGAUGUUUCGUAAUUCAUAAUUGUAUGUGUGUAAAAAGAAGCAAUUAGCUAAGAAAAGUGUACUACUCCUACAACACUUGAUAAUUGCAGCUUAAUUGUACGCAAGGAAAGUGUGCAGUCAUGCAUGAGCAGUUUCUCCAUUUGAUGUGUACAAGUAUCAAACUACGUUCGCGCCUAACUUUGUUUUCUGCACAUCUUCCAGCUUCCACCACUGCACCGCACCAUGAUUCCAGCUCUUACUAGCUUGGAAAAGCAUCAUCUGCAAUACCUGCAGAAAAUUAAAGAGACGUGGCAUUGUGUUGCGUUCUUCUUUUUACAUGCCAGAUUGCAGCAUGAAAUGAAGAAGCCAUGCACCAGAGGUCGCCGACGAUGGAAUACACAGGAGCAGCGGCUGGCCGGCCGAUCAGUCGGUGGGGGCAAUUUAGUGAGUUCGGUGACCGGGUCCCACAUGCAAAGCAAGCAUAGGAGGGAGACGCCUGCUUGCUUUUAAUGCGGCACCGCAUGGCGCAUGGAAGAACCAAGCAGGGAUGCCCUAGCGAUCAGGAAGGCUGUUCCUAUUGGUCCCCCAUUGAUGGAUCGUCCCCAGUCUCAUCGCGCAUCCAUCUCUCACUGUCACCUCUUCUUCUUCCUUUUUUUCUCAGUUCUUCUCCCAUCCGCUGGAGGUUGAUCCAGUCUAAGCGUGGUCUUAGCAGCUUGUUAGGACCUGGCCAGCCAAUUGACCUUGUACUGUAUUACCUUGUGAAUAAAUUUCACCUUUUGUAAGUUCCAGAUGUUACGAGUCGUAGGAGCCAAAUAAAAGAGAGCAACCGUACCGUAGUCAACAGAGAGAUUUGAAGAAAACAGCUAGCCUCCACCCGUACCCAGCAGUAGUAGAAGCUAGCUAGCAAUGAGCUAGAAUAUGAGAACGAUCCACUAGAGAACAGGUACAGUGCUGCUUCAGUUGUGCAUGGCACAUGGUUAGUUUAGCGUGCAUGUAAAGAUCAAAUGAAAUGGUGCACUGAAUUUGUGCGUCCCAUGCAUGAGGAAGAGACUCUGACAUAUAUUCCGUAGCUUCGUAUAGAAGAAAAUCGAGGAAGAGCACUCUCAUUUGGUGGUACAGUUGCUCAGUAGAUGGAAGAGACGGCAACAUAUUUAAAAAAAAGCAUCUUGAUGCUAAAUAACUGUGGUAACUCCUAGUCCAAAUUAUGGCACAAUCGAUUUAGAGUAAAACACGACAUAUAAGAAUGGACAUAUAUCAAUUCUAGUAAGCCAACUACAUUAUUGUCUGAAACUAUUAAGUACUAUAACCAUUCUAGUGCGUUGGAUGGGCUGGCCACAGAAUAAGCUAUUCUAUGGCCGACCAUAGAGUAUACUCCACACACACACAUAUUCAGGAGGAGACUUGGAUUAUAUUCAGGGUUCUGUUAGGCUGUUGGGAUAACCACACUACGACAGCUUGUCACUGAUAGUGGAAGGACAUUAAUUUCAACAAGCACCAAAAUCAGCCUAAGAUUGUCGCAACAUAAUCAAAGAAGGAAACAUAUGCAUCAUAGAGAUAAUCACAACAACAACACAUGCAUUGACCAUAAGACACCAAUUUCAACGUAGAAACCCCAAAAUCGCGGUAAAACCCACAGGACCAAGCAGCCACCCAAAUAUCCAGAUAGCACUACAAGGUCAUAUACAUCAAUACUUUACCAUCUUAGACAACAACAUAAAUAUUUGGGGGCAAACAAUCGAUUAAAGGCAACAGUAUUGCGGAUCUGAAGCCUCACGCGACCCUGAGAACGGAUCUUUCUAACUUUCUUCCAAGAUCUUAUCCCCAAUCACCUUCUUCUCCCUAUCUUCUCCCUCCUUCUCUCCAUUUCAAGGGGAUUUUUCCUUCUCUUGAACCCAAUUACAACGUAUGUCAAAGUUGUUGUGGGGAUGCUCAUUAGAAACUCAAUACGUAAGAUUUCUUAAUAUGGGCUGCAACUCACUUGCAAAUCUGGGGGGCAGGGGGGCUAGAGGGAGGCUGGGGUGGUGCUCGGUGAGUGGGUGUGGCGUGGGGCCAAAAAAAAGAGGUAAAGAAAAAAUACUAUCUGAUGGAUUCGAUGGUUGGGGAUCAUAUUGACUGUAUCCGAUUAUUUUUCUCAACCAAGGAAGAUAUGUGCUUCACUAAAAAGUUAACACAUUGUGAGUUGGACUAUUGGAGUAGGUUUUUCGAUGAGGCUGUGUAGAGCCCACUCGAGUAGUAUUUUUUGCCUAAUUCACACUCGAAUUUAUAGCCAUCCAUACAUUCGAUCCAAUGGUGCAGAUUUAUCCCCUUCCUCAACACUAUCCUCUCCAAGGCACACGUGUGUAGCUCGCCUACCGCCACCGAGCAACUUCCCUACACCUUCCUCGACACCGGAGACGACUCUGGUGGUGAGCCCCAGCCCCCCUCCAUUGAUCGUGGUAUCACAUUUUCCGGCUUUAGUAAGCUUCUAAGUUCGUUCCCCAUUGAAAACCCUAACCUCUGAGCUCACCAAACCUCUUUAGAGAUAAAUAAGAUGAGUUGAGUAGCAUGAAGAGAAAAUUCGGAUGUCAGGGACACCAAAAUGCUCGGCCGGGUAUGAGAUUUAGCUUUUCACCUUUUCGUUCGAUCCUCCGGUCACCACCGACGACCUUGAUCACGAACGAACUGGCCGCGGUCGCGACGCGCUUGACGGGCCGACCGGCCGGUCAAGCUGGUGAUCGCUGGAGAGUCCAUCAAGUGUGGCGGUCCAGUUGGUGCACGCGCCGCCGCUGCCACGCGUGCCUAGCUAGCUCGCCUCGUUUACUAGCUCCGUCAUUUUCUUUUUUACUCUGCAUGCGCGGCCUGCAGCAGCUGCCGCCGUCCGCUUAGAGCAGGCCCACAUACGCCAAGCACGUCAGCACUGCUGCUGACAUGGUAGAGAGAGGGUCGGAGAGUGAAGGGGGCGCUACAUCCGUCGAUCAGCGCAACGAGUUCCGAUGCAGGUCAUGGGUCCCGUGCGUGUGCAUGCAAGGAUGGUUGUGAGAGAGAUGACCGGUGGGUGGGAUUGGUGGUGGGCCAGGGAAAGAUUAAAAAAUUUAAUGCGAUGUACCAAGAAACAAGUUGUUGUAUACAUGCUUGUCUAAAUGUGUCAAUUCUUAGAGAUAAGUGCUUGUCUCUUUUAUUGGUCUUGCUCUUAUUUGCAUUGCGUGCUGUCAACCUACGUGUACGACCUUGCUAGCAAAUAGCAAUGCUUUGAAUAGUAUAUACUACUGUUAUACGAUCCCCAUAUGAACAAUGCGCGUGUGUCGACUGCAGGGAAUCCAACACUAAAGGAGAUGUUUGGUUCGUGAAGAUGUAACGUAAUCAAUUUACAGGCGUUAAGCGAUACCGUUACGUAUGUUUGUUUCAACCUCCUCUGUAAUUUAAUUACCCGUAAUCAGAUAUCGGCCCAAUUACAGUCCCAUUACGUCCCUCCCUACCCGGUAUCGCAUUGCGAUACCGCUCCCCGAUGCCGCCCCUUUCUUUUCCCAUUAUAUUGUCCCUCUCUUUUCCCCAGAUGCUGCUCCUCCGCCCGUGCGUUGCCCUUGCUACUCCUCCGCACGAGCAGCUUCGUUGGCGACCACACGCACCAUGGUGAGCCCUUGCUCCUUCCCCCUCUCACUCCCUCUCUUCCUCGUCCACAUACCCAGAGAAGUUUCUCUCAUAACCCUAACCCUAGCCUCGGUUCUUUUUCAAAGGCUGUAGAAAGAUCCGAGGGAAAGGAAGCACAGGGACGGGAGGAGGAGCUCAUCCGCCAUCCGUUUUACUGACAGGAAGAUCAACGUGCACCACAAAUACUCCUCCCUUGGUGAGUUUUGCCUAUCUUCCUCCUCAAGUAAGAUAUCCUCCUCUUUCUUCGAUGACUCUGAAUUCCCCUUAUUUGAUCUAGUUUUGUGUCGAUCGAUUUCUUGAAUCAAUGUAUUGUUGAUGAUGUGGUUGAUAACUCGAGAUGGAUCUAUGGAUUGUAUGUUCUUUACAAUUAAUUCUGAUUUUUUUGCUUCUGUUCAUGAAUACAGUGUGCAGUUAAUCACUUCUUGUCCUUGACUUGAAUCAGAUUCCUAAUUUUGCAUCACUGCUCCAAUUAUAGAUGUUAAUUUGCAAUCUAGUACAACUGAACUCGUAUACUUGUGUGUCAAGAUACUUCAUAAUAGAGGAAUAGAUCUUUGUUGGUAAAUUAGAUGUUAGGUUGUUCUUUUUUCUUUUUUCUCGUCGGAGCAGAUAUGACAAAAGCUGAGCUGGCGGUGGACGUCAAGUCAACGGAAGGUGCCGAGUCGAAAGAGGCAGCGGGAUUGAAAUCUGUCGGCAUGGUCCCGAAGCGAAGCUGGAUCGGGUUGGCGAGGUAGUCCUUCAUGCUCUCAUGGAAGACAACGUCGGGGCGGGAUGCCAUCGAGCCCACUAGGGAGGAUCCCACAAUCACCCCUACAUGGCGCGCCAACUGUCAGACUUAUAAGCCCGGCAGUCCACCAGGGGGUUACCCAAGUGGUUGAUUUGUAGGUGGAGGUGAUUGUGAAACCAAGAACUCGAAGGUGAUCGCGAGAAUACAAGGGACACAAGGGUUUUAAACAAGUUCGGACCUUCGGAGAGUAAUACCCUACGUCCUGUAUGCUUGGUGGCUUGUAUUGCUUGAGAAUUUCUAUGUCCUCGGGAGGCGCCCCCGGCCGCCUUAUAUAGGCUGACAACCUAGGGUUACAUGUCGGUUUGAAUCUAAUCUACUUGGUUGUUACAUGGAAGGCAAUUUGAGUCAGAUUACAAUACUACAAUAUUUGGGCUGAUUUGAAUCGCCCGGACGAGCCUACUUGUCAGAUCUGGCCAGUAUCCUGGUCGGUGGGGACCCAUAGGGUACCCAUAUCCCUCAUGAUUAAACUAAACAUGCUUGAUAUGGUCAGCUGAGAGCCACUGGUAGUACCAUAGUAUGCUUUGUUUUCGUAUUGUGAGUGAAAUCGGGAUAACGGUAGCUCCCCAUUGGUUAAUGUAAGGAUAGCUCAUGCAUCUUUGUUUGACCGAAUUAAAGCAAGUUACAUUCUCUCUCAGCACUCGGCACUUCAAUAAAAAUAGAUAACAUUGCAGACACAUGUUUCCUAUAGUAUUACUCGUAAUAGUUUCUCCUAGCCCUGGCUAAAUAGGCACGAGAUAUGAUUAGUGAUGUCAGCAAAACAGUUUGCCAUGGUGAGAUUCUGUUUAACUUAUUGAAGGUCAAUGGUGUUACUCGGUUCGGCACAAAGAUAAUCGCUAUUUUCCAAAAAAAACAAUCCUUAAGCCUAGACAAAUAUUCAGUGCAUGCUUUGCAUUCAAGAGCUGAUCCUACAGCAAUGUCAUUCACAAUUCUUUAGCUGAUGCUUCUCAGAGAAGUAGUAAAGAACUAUGAUAUCUGUUCCCAUGACCAGUUGCUUAGUGAUAUGUUUAGUGAUAUGUGUCACUUUGCUAUCUUGUUUCGGAUGUUUAUUUACUACCAUAAUUCAGAUGCUUGUUCUUUCACAAGAAUUCAGUCAAGAUUACAGUUAUAUCAUUCCAAUAUAUUCUAAUAUAUGUAGUUGUAUGUUUGCAAUUUAAGGAUGCUAAUCUUGGGCAGAAAUAUUCAAUCAACUAAUGAUAAUGGAAGUACAUCUUGUUGAACAUUGUUGAUGAAUCGAUAUACCAUUAUUUUCAGAAAAAAAUAACACCUCGUACCUUAACUUGUCACCAUUUUUGUAGAUGAGAGAAGAAGAUAGAAGGUGGAACUAGAUCGGUAAUCAAGCGACAACGAAUCUAAAGUUCAAAAGGGUGCUGAUUAUACUUGCUGUCUUCCGUUUGAAGUGUCUCAUUUUACCUAUGUCUCCUUGGUUAGCUGAUCAUGCUUGCUGUCUUCCGUUUGAAGUGUCUCAUUUUACCUGUCUCCUUGGUUAGCUUUCAGUCUAUGUUGAAUACCUUUUUACAUCAUGAGGCUGCAAAUUUGCAUUAGUUAAACCUCCUUGUAUUAUAUGCUACAGCAUAUAGAGAUAUGCUAGUUGCUAUGUCUGGUCUCAUGAAUAGUUGUUAAAUUUGAAAAUUAUCUUCCAAUACAUGAGUUGCAAACCAAAUAGUUGUAACGGUAUCUAAUACCAUUACAUUGUCCAAACAAACAAAUCCUGUAAACAGCGAUCCCACCUCAAAUGCUCCCGUGAUUCAUUUACAGUCGCGUUACGUUACCAGUGCGGCAACUAAACACCUGGCAAAACUUCUAUAAAAAAAACAACUUCUCCUCGACGAGGCCUACCGGCCUGCGGGGCGCUGGGUUUUUUCUACCCGGAAAUCCACACUUGUGUACGAAAGGCCCACUCCACUACUGUCCGGCCGACGAGCCCAUCAUUGACUUCGCGGGGCGCCGGGCUGCCGCGCGCUGCGUAGGUAGAGUAGCAGCAGUUGCCGCAAGACCACCAUCCCUAGCCUCCCACAUGUUGGGCUGGGCCGUCCGUGCGCUGCUCGGCCUCGCCACGUCCAGCAGCGCCGCCGAUCACUCCAUCACUGACUGCUGAGGUCGUCGUGCACUUUGCGUGCAAGCACUCGCAUCUCGGAGCCCAAGGCAGCACAGACCUCCAAAGCCGGAGUGCAAUCUACUCCAGCUAUCCCUUUUCCGCGUCGUAAGCUAGCCGCCGUAGCUUCCUACGAUCCGGACGAAGAAGCCACACACGGCUUCACGCCGCCUCCAUUCUAGCUGCAUUGUCUGGUGAUCUCUGGUCCAGAGCAGCAGCGCGUCGGCGAGCGAAAGGGAUCGUACCAUGGAGGCCGCCGACCUCCUCGACGGGAACGGGAAGAACAAGCCGCCGCCGCAGCCCAGGCGGCGGCGGUGGUACUGCAGCACGACGGCGGUCACGCUGCUCAUGUUCCUGCUCACCAACACCGUCUCCAUCGUCGUCUCCUCGGGCGCCGGCCCCUCCCUCCUCCGCCGCUACAAGCCCUCCACCAUCCGCCUCUGGGACGGCUCUGCCGCGCUCCUCGCCGACCUCAACGCCACGCAGGCCGACCUCGCCGCCAGCCGCGCCGAGCUCGCGGGACUCUACGCCCGCGUCGGCACCGCCAACGAGCUCCUCCGCACCCUGCUCGACGCCAUGGCCGCGCGGGACGCCGCGGACAUCGUCGCCAUCGCCGGCGGAUGGAAGCGAGAGCCCUCCGGCGAGCUGAAGCUGGCCGUCGGACCACAUAACACGUCCAUGACCGCCGGACACGGCCGGAACGCCACCGGCGAGGCGGCGACGGCGGUGUUCCCGGCUCUGGGCCACGGGUGCGUCCGCGUCCAGGACGACCUCGAGCGAUACAUGAACUACACUCCCGGUGGGGAGUGCCCGUCCGACGAGGCGCUGGCGCACCGGCUGAUGCGCAGCGGUUGCGAGCCCCUAACGCGGCGCCGGUGCCGCGCGCCGUCGCCCAAGGGGUACCGGCAACCGUCGCCGCUGCCGACGAGCCUCUGGGUCACGCCACCGGACACCAGCGUGCUCUGGGACGCGUACUACCCGUGCAAGAACUACUCGUGCCUGGCGAGCUCCCGCGGCGUCGACCUCCGCCGCGUCGGCCGGGAGAAGGCCCGGUGGGCGCGCGACGACGGCGCGCUGUCCUACUCCAUCGCCACCGUGCUCGCGACCCGCCCCAACGGCACGGUGCGCGUCGGCCUCGACCUCGCCGGCGGCAGGUCCUCCUACUCCCCCGGCACGUUCGCGGCGCGGAUGCUGGAUCACGGGGUCACCGUGGUGACCGCGGCCGUGAGCGCCGCCGCGCCGCUCAACAGCUUCGUCGCGUCGCGGGGGCUCGUCUCCGUGCACGUCACCGCCGCGCACCGGCUGCCCUUCUUCGACCGCACGCUCGACAUCGUGCACGCGGCGGCGGGUGGCCUCGGCGACGGCGGCGGAUCGAGGGUCCCCGCCGACGUGAUGCUGGAGUUCGCGCUGUUCGACGUGUACAGGGUGCUGAGGCCCGGGGGCCUGUUCUGGCUCGACCACUUCCCCUGCCCCGGGGCGCAGCUCAACGCGACGGUGGCGCCAAUGCUUGGUCGCGUCGGGUUCAAGAAGCUCCGGUGGAACACCGGCCGGGGGAAGGAGAAGGACCAGUGGUACGUCUCGGCGCUGUUGGAGAAGCCCAUGGCAUAAGAAAAUUGUGGGUUUUUUUCUCAUAGGAAACUAGUGGUUGUAAUAAUCCUGUAAUGUUCUUCUUGCUUGAUUCCUGCUUGUCUCUCUGGCAUUUUGCACGAUAUCAUAUUGUUCUGCUUUCACUUCACAUUUUUAAUUUUUUUUUUCAUUUUCUCUCCCAAUAGUUUGGUGAUCUUAUCAAGGAAGAUAGCAAUUUUUUAGAGCAUUUCUCCUUCUCCCAAAGGCUAUCGGCCCAAGGCCUUAAAGGAAAAUCGCAAACGGUUCAAGCCCAUUAAUAAUUUUCCCGUUGCUAGUUUGGCCCACAAACUAACUGAAGGAACGGCCCAUCAAAAGGCCCAAACAGCUCGGCGCACUCCGUUGUUCGUCUCCGCUCCGAUUCACGACCGCCGCAGCCUCCGCCGCCGCACGCCACCAUCAGACACCGCAGCCACCACCGGCGGCCGCACCAUUUGACACCCAGCUCGCGAAGGCGAACCAUAAGCCCUAGCCGUCCCCCUCCCGCCCGGAUGACCCCGAGCCGCGGCGGCGCGGAAUGGAGGUGCCCCGGAGAAGCUCGACGCCCUCGCGGGCUGGUUCGCGCAGUCCCUCUCCCUCGACGCCGCCACUCGCCGCGCCGCUGAGCAGAUCCUCUGCUCCGCGGAGUCCUCCCCGGGCUUAGCGCUCGCGCUCCUCGGCCUCGCCGCCUCCCUGCGGCACGACCUCCAGGCCCGUAUUUUUAUAAUGGGUGCUCGGAAGUGAUUGCUGUGGCUGAGCUGCAGCUGAGGCUGCGGCAGAAAGCCUGAAGCGACUACAGUGCUGCUGCAAGCCUGCAGCUGCUUGUAGCAGCAGCUACAGCUGCUAAGCUGCAUCCAAUUUUUUGACAUGGAGUAUCAGCUGAUCAACUGGCUGUGAAGCAACUGGUGCUUGAGCUACAGCCGAGCAGCUGGACUGUGCAGCUGCAGCUGCAGCUGCUGGUGAAACAGUCUCAUUUCCUCGCAAAGGAACACCCCACGGAUCUAAACUAAAAACCUCUCGCUGGACCCUCCUCUUGACCGGCAAGGUUGCAAAGCCUCAACUUUGAAGAACUGAUGUGCUGCUUGCAAAGAAGGGCUGCCCCCAUCAAAAAUUCCCUUUGUUGCUAGUAAGUAAAAUCCUUUUCUUUGGGCUUUCCUUACUUUUUUUAUAUGAUUUAUUCACCAAUCAGCGAAGCUCUUUUCAUUCCUUAUUGGAACUAUGCUAGCGUUGGUAAGAAUGUGCUGCACCGUUUCUUCCUCUUGAUCCAUUGAUAUAUUGUUGGGGAAAUUAGAAAACUGUCAAAACUCCUCUCAUGUCCCUUGUCUAGUAUCAUUGAUUCAUUGUAGCAUUUGUUAGAUGCCAAUUGAUUCUGAUCUCUCUCAAGUGAGGGUAGGGUCCCACGUGUCAUUGGGACAAUCAUAGUAUUUUCACAAAGCAUAGUUCCUUUUCCUCUUGAAAAUUUGGUCCUAACCUUUGAUUUUGCAUUUUGGCUCCUGCAUCCUACGUAGUUUCUUUUAAAAUAAAAUUUCAGGUGGGGAUGGUGAUUAAGAAGAGCAGCGAAACAGCUAGCCGAGCAACAACAUACAGGGGCAGAGAGGCACAUUGCUGAAGCACAGAACAUGUCAUGUAACACUUCAUUUCUUGCUUGUUUUAUUUUUUGCACAGAUCGCCGACAAUAGUUUGGCCCUUUUUCGACCCCAGCAACUAGCUAUGCUUCAUCAGAAUUCAGUACUCGUCUGAAACUCUGGUGAUCUUGGCCAAGCAGUUGUCCACCGGCCUGGGGUGGGGCAGGUACCUCACCCGGCAGCUGGGGUUCGUCCUCGUCAGCCUGCCAAAGCAAAGCCCAACAAAUCAUUUAAGAGAAACAUGCAUUAUUCAGAUAAGGUGUCAUAUGAACAAAGCCAAAAAAAAAACACCUGUAGUUUCUUCAUCUAAACGGUAAACCCUGAAUGAAAGAAGUUACCUGUAACCGAGGAGGAAAUGGUGGAGGAAGACGGAGAUCUCCAGCUUGGCGAGAUCGUUGCCGGGGCAGAGCCUUGCGCCGAGGCCGAAGGGGAGGAAUGUGCCGGCUCUCGGCGAGUGGCCCUGAAAGGAAACAAGAGUAUGAAGAUUGUUUGAGCUUCAUCAGGCCAUGAUCUGAUUGGUGAUGCUUCUAGGAUCGAUUUAUUCAGAAUGGCAACAGUGUCUCUGUUGCUGCUGGUACAGUACCUCCCAUCUUGAAGGGUUGAACUUCUUGGGGUCAGGGUACACUUGAGGGUCCAUGUGCACGCUCCGGUACCACAGCUGAACCUUCCAGCCCUUGGGGAUCAGGUACCCUGUUAGAAAAAUGCACACGGUGUUUCAGUGGAUUCCAGAUACAAAAAUGUGAGGCUAAUUCUGAAACUCACCGUUCACAAAGACAUCUUUGGUCGCCUGACGGAAGGACACGAACGAGAUGUUGACGAACCGCAGCGUCUCGUCGAUCACCUUCAGAUACAUAGGAGUUCAUCAGUACAGUAUAAUGUUGCUGGUUGGUUGCAUUGUACUGUCAAAGAAUGGAAUCUGGUGCGCUCAAAGUCACUGCUGCGUGAGCUGAAUAUAAUGCAUUUAAUUUGCUACAAAGAAAACGUUACCUGUGAGAGGUACCCCAUCUUCCUGAAGUCCCUCAGCGUCAGCCCCUGCUGCGUCGGUGGAAUGCUCCUCAUGAUCGCCUCCUGCUCUGCCUGGAAGAAAAGAAGCCGCAUCAACCAAACUGAUCUCCAAAUAAUGUCGUCUGAGCUGAAAAGAUUCAACCUUUUUCAGCACGAUUAUAAAUCCAGUACGGCAUACCUUGGCCUUUGCAAAGAUGUCGGGAUUCUCCUGCAGGAACACGGUGGCCCACAUGGUGAUGUGGCCGGAGGACUCGUGGCCGGCGUUGAGGUACAUGAUGAGGAUGUCGAUGAUCUCGUCGUCGUCCAGCCUCCGCCCGUGCUCGUCCUCCACCUCGAUCAGCCGGUCCAUCAUGUCCACGCUGCUGGACCGCGUGAACCCCUUGGCCGUCGCCGCCCGCCUCUCGUCCAGCACGCCCUGCAGCACGGAGACCAGCCUCCGGCGAGCCCCCAGCGCCCGCCGGUACGCGAACCCGGGCAGGUUGAUGGCCAUGGCGCGCAUCCCGUAGUUGAGGUCCGUGUAGCUCCGCUCCAGCGCGUGCAUGGUGGCGUCGUCGGCGCCGCCCAGGAAGAUCUGCACGAUGAUCUUGAACGUCAUCCGGCGGAGCUCCGUCAGGAACUCGACCUCACCGCCGUCGGCGCACUCGCCGGACCACGCGCGCAGGGACGACGUCACGGUGCGGUCGAUGAAGGGAAGGUACGCGGUGAGCGCGUCGAAGCCGUUGAUGGGCGCGGCGGUGAGCUUGCGCAGGCGGCGGUGCUCGUCGUAGGGCAUGGCCACGAACGACUUGGGCCCGAUGAGCGCCACCGUGGCCUUGGGCCACCCGGUGACGAAGCCGUCGUCGUCCAUGAGCACCUGCUUGCACGCCUCCGGCGUCGUCACCAGGAUCGUCGGGCUGCUGAACAUGAAAGCUCGGUACACGCCAGUGCGGCCAAACCUGCAUGCCAAAUUGCCAAAAAUCAGGAGUCAGGGCAACUGAUGAGCUCUCGUCAGAGUACUGAUCAAAGAUCAACACCAGACUCCAGAAUGAUCGAACUUGCGAACAUGCAUUCUGAAACAGGUCAUGUCCUAGAUGCAAACAUUUUGCACAGAAAAUCAUACUUGGAUGCUCACCAUUCAUUAGCAUUGCACAAAACAUGAGGUUAUGAGUGAAUUGCAAGAGCUAGCAGAGCCAGGAACUCGUUUUCUUUGUUACAGGAAUUUCUCAAAAAUUGGUUGAAUUCAAAUUUUUGUACUGGAAAUUUCAAUCCCUGGGGAAAAGGGGGGGGGGGGGGGGGGGGCGCACACACCCCCUGGUGAUUUGUAAAUCAGCAGGCAGAAUAUAUUAAGUCUUGUCGAGAUGCAUUCCACAUAAUGCCUUCAUUUCUGUAGUGUUUCAGCCUUUCAGGGCAAAAGACAACAUACAGAUUGCGGCAAAGCUCUGAAGAAGAAUAUUUGCAUUUUUAACACAGAUACUACCCAAAGAGAGCCGCAGCACAUAUUCGCGCAUGAAUUAAAUAGUGCUCAGCAAAUCACCAUCAGUUGAAACUCAACAGAUCACCUGAGUAUUCAUAUCAUUUAUGAAAUCACUUUGGACGGACCGACGCCCGUCGACGACAAUGAAGAAUCGACAGAGACAAAUUUGGAUGGCACCAAACCAAACACCUGUCUUACUAGCAAAGACGAUUCCUACACUACAGCAUAUGGAUCAAACAACAGAUUAAAACUUUUCUUUUACAGGGAAAAGGAUAGAUAGGAUAAGCAAAGCAGCUGCCUUUUUGACAGCAUAUGGAUGGGGAAUCAGGGACGCGAUGGGGUAGGUGCCAAGCAGGGCAUAUCAAUCACCCGGUGUUUUGUUAUCAGCAGAGCAGAGGGCAUUAGCAUUUAUCGACGAAGGUUUUGGCCAUUGCCAAAGAUGGAAUCUGCUCUGAAUGCAGGCAUGGGAGAGUGGUGGAGGUGUUGGAAAUGGAAAUCAAUCAGUCAGACAUCUCCUUUUGGGCAGUGGGGGCAGCGCCAGCAAGCAUUCCCUAGCUCCUCCUCCAUGCAUCUGAUCAGAUCAGAUCAGACGAGCCAUCACUGACUGACUGGAUGACUGUGCAUGUUUCUGAACUUACGGCAGCAGCCUGACAGAAUCGUUGAAAGUGAUUCACUGACUGCUGGAGGUGAUAUGCAGGCGUGCGUAGCAGUAGGAUAUCGUGGCGUCAUCAGGGCGCACAGAGAACUGAAGACAGAAACAGGUUGGAGAAAAUAAAAAGGAGAGAGAUGAUGAUCUUGAAGCCACACUUUGUGUGUACGUGUGCCUGUUUGAGGUCCAGGGGACAGGUUGAAGAGUCAUCCCUCCUGUUGUUUGUGCUUGCAGGUGAUGGAUGUCUUUUGGUGCAUACCUAAAAGCAUCCAUUUGAUUGCACUACUACAGUAGACUUGUAGAGAGAGGGAGAGAGACAGAUAUUGCAAGGACAAGAACAUUUCGUUCAUGCCCCAACACCAACAGGAAUUGAUGUACAAUGUUGUUCUUGGCGGCCAAACCAAACCGCAACAAUCUCGCAGUAAUUCGUCAGGAGUAGAGUGUGGAUAGCAACUCCUGUCUGAAGAGGAAUAGAGGAUGGCUUUGGCAUUGGCGAGAGAGAGAAAGAGAGGGAGGGAGGGAGAGGGCGGUUACUGGAAUGGAGGAAACUGACCGUCGGAUGAAGGAGGCGACGAAGGCGUCGGGCUUGCCGGACUUGAAGGCGCGGAGGAAGGCCCACAUGGCGCCGACGACGGGCCAGCCCAUCUCCCCCGGCGGCAGCCGCGCCCGCCUCGCCGCGCCCAGCGCCGCCUCCCUGUACCACCCGUGGAGCCUCCGCGCCCCGGCGUCGAGGAGGAAGAAGAGGAGCAACGCGCCGACGACGGCCGCCACCACCGGCGCCCACCACAUCGCCGGUGGGCUCGCCACGCCAUCGCCCACACCCACGGCCAUCUCCGGCACGGUUCCCGUGCGGCGCCGCUCGCGCAAGCAACGCAAACUCUGGGAGCGCACACCGUCGAGGCGGAAGCGACGAGAGAACUCACAAGGAUGGCGAAGAGGCCGGAGUGAAACCGUCGCUGGGUCCGCGUGCCGCUCGCUCUCUAUAAACCCAUGAACCGUAGUAGUAGGGGCUGUGCGGGCCCACAGGUACACGUCGGCGCACGGUGGACCAGGCACACGCAUGGCUUGUGUACACAAGCUCUCGCUCGGAGCACAACAAUAUCUUAUCAUUAAAUCCUCAAAAAUAAGAGAAAAUAUUAGACUUUUUCUUAGAAGAAAAGGUUACAUUUUGUUAGAGAAGUUAAAUUCUGUUGAGCAAUGUGAUCCAAAUCUAGAGUACAAAUACAGCUCUUGGUACAUUGUUCUUGGAGUUUCAUGAGGUGCAUACACCGUGCUGUUUAAUUUUUAUCACAAAAAAUGUUUGUACUUUGUAUUGGCCGGCCGGAUUGCUUGUAGUGUAAUGAGGCCGGUUUUGGUUUCUUCUCUCAACAAAUAGGGCUGCAUUACACGCCAGGUGUUGCCAAACACACGCACGCGCGUGCUUCCUUGUUGGUUUUCUAGUCGUCAUGCUUUAAAAUUUCUCACACGCGGCGGUGCCUUCUGGCACGUGUGCAGUGUGCCACCGUCGUGCAUGGACAAAUGUUGGCAGGCAGUUACUCAAAAACUUUGUAGGGAGAUAAGAGGGGCUCUUCAGUGAAGCAGCAAAGAACCUUUCGGGAGUGAUCAUCUUCAAGCAUGUAAAGAGAGAUCAAAACCCGGUAGCACACGUGUACAUGUAGCUCAUAACAGAAGCAUAAGUUGGUAGACUAGUCUUACUAUUUUAUUACUAAUUAUAAAUCCAUUUUGGAACCUCCAUGCUAAUCCUCGAUGUGCAAGGAAAAAAACAGAAAAUCUCCAAAAUUCUUAAAAAAAAGUAAAAUAUCUGACCACCGAGACUCCUUCAUAGUUGAUAAUAAUCCAUUAGAUAUACUUUCCUCAAAAUCACUCAGCUUUACCUAAUGGAUAGUAACUAAAGUAACACAUGUAUAUAAAUUAUCAAUAAUAACACAACUUAAAUCUACAUUUAAAUGACCUUAUCUAUCAUUAUUAAAAAUAAGCUAAAGUAAUCUCGCAAAUAUGCAUCUAAAUUAGUCGUAAGAAAUUGUAAACACCGCAUGCUUUUAAGUUAUACACUCUUGUAAUUAUUAAUAUGCAAAAGACCGACUCAAACAUGCAUGAUUGUGUCACCACGAACCACAUAAUUAAAAAUACAUAUUUAAUUAUAUAGUAUAUGCGUGGUUGAAAUUAAAUUGGGAAGCCAAAUAUAGCUCAUGGUAAGGUUUCAACAAAACACAUAUCCAAAACACACAUGGCUACACUUAGGUGUGGCAAAAAGUGAAAAAUCUUACUAUUACUAAUUGGAGGCUCCUUUUAAAGCCUCCAGGUGAAGCCACCUAGAAUUCCUAGGUGGACACUCUAGAAAAAGAGAGAAAUCCUAGAAAUUCUCACAAAAAAGCAAAACAUCUGAUCAUUAAUCGAUAGAUUCAAAUCAUCAUAGCCAUUAAAUCUAUUAUGUUUUCUAAAAAAUUACCCACCUAUGCCAUUAUGAAAAUAGCCUAAAGCAACCCCCCUAAAUCUAUAUAUAAAUUACCCACCUCUGCUAUUAUAUAAAAUAAACUAAAGUAACCCCCUAAUCUUCAUCAAAAUUACCCACUUACGCCAUUAUAAACAAUAUUUAAAAUAACCCCCUAAUUUGCAACCAAAUUGCCCACCGCUAUUACUUAAAAAUUUAAAGUAACCUGUUAAAUUUGCAUCUAUAUUACCCACACAUGCCAUUAUUAAAAAUAACAUGAUAACCCUACAUUUGAAUCAAAUAACCUUAAUUAAAAUAUACAGCAAUAUAUGAUUCUAAAUCGUCUAUAUCUUGCACUAUUGGUAUAUGAUAUUAUAAUUAAGUUCUAUACACAUGAUGUGUUACCAUUUAUAAAGAUAUAGAGGAAGUGAUGAGAAUAUAGAUUUUUAUAUUAAAAUUGUAUCACAAACUUAGGGUUCAUUAAACAAAUUCAAGGUAUGAAAUUCAAGCACAUACCUGUGAUGCAAAGUGAAAAGUUAAAGAUUAUAAAUGUGAAUGAAAAUAUUAUAGAGUAAUUACUAACUAAAAUCUAUCACAAUUGGAUGAAGAUAAUAAGUAUAUAUCUAUUAUGUUUGAAUAUUUAACAAACGAGAGGUAGCUUAUGGUAAUAAUUUUUUAGCAAUGUAGUCCUAUUUUUUUUCCAUUGGAGACUCCGCAUUAGUUCCAUGAGACAAGCUAGAAAAAAAAGAGACAAAUUCUCAUAAAAAUCAAAAAUAUCAAACACCAAUCAUGUAAACUCUAAUAAUCAUAGCCAUUGAUCUAUUAUAUUUUCUAAAAAGUUACCCACCACUAUCAUUGUGAAAAUAUUCAAAAAUGAGCUCUAAACCUAUAUCUAAAUUACCGAGCUCAGCUAUUAUAAAAAAUAAUCUAAAUUAAUCCCAUAAUCUUCAUCCAAUUUACUAAUACAUAAUAAAGCAUAACUUAAAAUAUCAUUCUAAAAUUUUAUCUAUAUUACCCAUGUAAGUUGUUAUUAAAAAUAACCUAAAUUAAACAUCUAAAUCUUAAUAUAAUUAUCUUCACGUGCAUCAUACAUAAAUGUCAAAAAUAAACUAAUAUAUGAUUCUAAAUUACCUAUUUAUAUCAUUAUUAAUAUAAAAAUACUAAGUUCAAGUAUAUACACAUGAUGAGUGUCACCAUUUAGACCAUUUAUACAUGUACGUGAGGAAUCGAUGAAAAAUAUUGAUUUGUAUGCUAAACAUAAUGUAUGGAGGAUUGGAGGUGCGAUACAAAAUGGAAAAAGUAUGAAUAUGGAUGAAAAAGUGCAUAGAGUAAUUAUUAAUUAAAAAUCAAUCACAAUUGGACAAAGGUAGGUACAUAUCUAUAUAAGUAUUAUGUUGAUGUAUUGAAAAAAAAUAAGAGAGUAGUAGGCAAUAAAUUUUGAUUAUUAUCUAGGAGUUUAAUUUCUAAAUAAUUUUCAAAUACAAUAGCUUCUAAAAAUAUUAGCCCGUGCGGGAGCACGGUUGAUGGACUAGUACUAUUAACGAGAAUUAAAGUCUAUCACAAAAGUAAAGACGAGCAUUGUGAUAGAAAAUAAAUAAAUGAGGUAGAGUGAAAAAUAAGUAAAUUUGAUUAAUUGUGGGAUCAAAAUUUAUGAAAAGGAUUACAGUACUUUUGGACGUAUGGAACCGAGAUCGAUCGGUUCUAAGGAAGGAAUCGUAAAAAAAACAAAUAAGAACCCAGCUAGGUUUUAUUUUUUUGAGCGAAGUCAGGGAAGUCCUACCUAUUUUUUAUAAUUUUUUUAUUUCAAACUCGUUUAAUUCGUUCUCACGGGGAGUCAAAUCUGGACCUGCUAGAUGCUACUCAAGUGCUCAACCACUGGACCAGAGAUUUUAUACAUUUGGUGAAUGUCACCAAGAAAAUAACCAUGUAGAAAAUGCUUUGCUAAAUUGACUAGCUUGGCGACGAGGACAGGGGAGGAAUCGUAGUACGAAGAUACAGGUGAUGAUGGAUCCGUGGUGAAAAAGUAGCUUGUUGGUUUUCGACCUUUUGAGAAACAUCAAGGUACAUAUAUUGUAUCGAUCAGUGAGUAGCUAGCUAGGAAUGACACGGGCGGAUCGAUGAGAUAACUUUUAGGGUACAACAGUGAUGCGAUGCGACGACGAUCGUAUCGAGCUCGGGGUACAUGACCAUAGCCUCGAUAUGGUACGUGUGUGUCGCCACACACAUGUACACUUCGUGAUCAUAUUCAUACGUGUUCAAGUAACGAGAGUGACAUGCCUUUAUCUUACACGUCGGUGGCGGCCACUGAUGAUAAAGUCUGUGAGCAGCGGUACGUGCAUCAUGUGCAUGGCUUCAGCUGGGAUUCGAUGAAAUGUACUUGAUUUAGGAUAAAACAUUUCCUUUUUCUCUGAAAGGUAGAGCAUAUAUAUAAAAGAAUAAAAGAUUUAGAAUUAGGAGCGUACGUUAGUUUUUUCUAGAUUUUUACUAUUCUUCUCAAAACCACUUUUUGAUUACUAGCUAGCUAGUAUCUUGUACGAAUUUGUAGUGUUUAUGGAUUUUGCAAUUGUAAAUUUUUCAUAUGUUGCCACUGAAUGCUACCGCAAUGUUCUUCUAAUGUCCAGCUAGCCUAUAAAUUAAAUAAUCCUGGGUUUGCCACAGCUCGUCUUCACAUAAGUAGAUUAUGCUAGCAGAAUGGCAGACGAGCAUUUGCAUUCAGCCACGUACUUGCCGCUGAAAAGUCUGGUUCUUUAGACUUGAUUGAAAUGAAAUGGCUGCAAAAGGGGGAAAAAAGGUCCUGCAGCGUGUCGACUGAGUUUAUUCAGUCACAUCUUGCAGUGCAGAUGCCGUGCAUGCAGCCACCCUAAGCAUUUUUAAUCUUUGGCGCUAGUACGGUGGGAAUCUGAUCACCGCUUGCUUGCAUUUGUCUCUCCGUUUCUAAACCGUACGGCAGAUUUUAAGCUAAAAGUAUGUAUGGUAACAAUGAAUUUAAUUAGAUUCGUUGUAGUUUACUUUACUAGACGUUAAUCUCUUUUUUAUUAGAUGUUAAUCUCUUUUUUAUUAGAUGUUAAUCUCUUCUCUAUAAAUUUGGUUACCGAACAAUUUUAACUUAGCAGGAUAUACAUUGAAAAUCAUUUAUAUUCCAAGACAAAUGUAGUACAUCAUUAUGGCCGUCGUCCAUGCCUCUGCGAUGUGCAUGAAUGUGCCCCAGCACAAAGGGAUCCAUGAUGCUGAGAGGCUGAUCGAGAACAAGCUUUAUUAAGAGUUUGUAGAAAUAAAGAUGUGAAUGAUGGCGACUGUGAACCGGGUCAGAAGAUGUAUCUUUCGAGAGAUAUGGGAGAGGCUAAGCUAGCUUCUCUCCACUCCUUUGGGUGUGCUUGCAUUGGGGCCGGAUUGCCAUGCCUCGACCCCUACCCUGUCCCCCUCCAUCUCAUCCCAGCCCAAAUGGGGAGUGGCACCAUCCUCGAAUGUGACAGGAAGCAUCCAUCACAACCCUACCAGCAAACUGACCACCGACUCGUUGACAACCAAAACAAAUAGCACUAGCACAAUGCUAGCAUCUCCUUACAUUCAUGAGUCAUGACAUUGCAUUCUGGGCUUGUGGCUGUAUUUAACCAAGGAUAAAUCCAAACAUGUCUUCAAUUCUUGGAAUUAAUGUCCUAGGAAAGAAUACCCAUUAUUUGCAAGAAACAAAUUUUAAAGGGAGAAGAAUCCAACAAUUUUAGAGAGUGCUAGUGGCCUAGGGACCGAGCAGCAGCAUGCUGCUUUUUGGAUAGAAUAACAGGCAGCAGCAGCCACGCAUGCCGGCAUGGGGCCUGAUCAACUGAUAAUGCCCUAUUGAUCAAGAAAGAAUAAGCUAGCUGCAAGCUGAUGGACUCUCGAUCCCUAAGGGUUUGUUUGGUUGCAUGCACCAUAUACCAUAUGAUGUAUGUAUGAAUGAUAUUGAAUGGUGAGGUUCAACUAAUGUGCUUGUACCAUAUGGCUCACUCUUAUUAGUAGAAUAAUGUAUUAGGUGGGAUGACUUCAUCCUAGAUGGGAUGGUAUAAUUAAAAAAAAGAAUCAUUAUUAUUUUGCACCAUUCCAUACAUAAACCAUACAGCCAAACAAACAUACUUAGUGUCGCAGUAGGUCCAUGGCCCCGAUGGCUAUAGGGACGGCUCGAGCAAGAGUCGUGAUCAGCCCAAGACAAAAUCGCGCAGCAAAUCUCUAGCCAAGGCCACACGCUUCACACUGCCUUUUUCUGGUAACGUCGUCAUUAGGCAUUAGCUUUUGUUGCUGCGCACCCCGAUCCCAUCGAGAGGCUGGUUCUGUGUGCACGUUCCUAGCUCCUAGGCAACAAAAGAAGCUUAGUGUGAUGCAAGGGGACGACGGAGAGGAUGAUAGCUUCGCUGCUGGACCCCACCACCGCCACGGCGGUUGAGCCGUCACGAGCUCACGACGUACGACGCCGCCUGGUGCUGACUUCCAGUUGCUCGGAAAUUCUCAGCUCUGGGCCGCCGCCGACCGCCGUCGUGGUUGGCCGGCCGGCAGGAAGAAAGCAGACCGGCCGGCAGAGCUAUCACCAACACCUUGGCACCUUGUCGAAAUGGGAGGUCGUACCAAAGGCAAUGGCGAUGGAGAAGGGAGAUGUUACCUGUCUCUAAAAGUGAGUUCGGCUCAUUUAGCGCUCUGCUCAUUAGUUUCUAUCUAGGGGCCGGCAGAUGGUAUCUCUCUCUCCCCCUCUCUAGAAAAAGAAAGUCUCUAGGAAAAGAAAAGUGGAGAAGAUACGCUACAAAAAGAUAAAAUCCUAGAAGUAAACUCUAGGUGUAAACAUCAACCGCCAUUCUAGGUGUAAACAUCAACCGCCAUUGUGGAUAUAAGGACCCUAUUUAUUUGAGAUUAUAAUCCAUUAGAUUAUUAGAUUAUGUGUAAAGGGUAGUAUAAUAAAAGAUCAUAUUGGGACCACAUUGGGAUUGCAAAUAAUCUGAAAUAAGCUAGUGGUCUGGCUUAUAUACUCCCUCCGUCCCACAAAGACUGUUCGUUUAGAAAAUUUUAGACAAGAUAGUAGCAAUGUUAAAAGUCCAAAGUACCCCUAAUAACUCUUCUUAAUCGGAUGGAUUAACGAGUAGAAUUAAUUAUACAUAUACGCUUGCAAUAAUUGUCGGACCUAUUAGCCUUCCUUGUUUAGCGAGUUUGGCUCGAGCAUCGAUAGUGGGAGUAAAUGAUCGAUUCGUUUAUUGAACCAGAAGGUAUUAUGAGGACCUUUGUUGGAUGGUCUGAAAGUUAUAUAAACACUCUUUGUGGAACAAGUUUUGGAAGCUAAACGAACAGUGUCUUUCGGGAUGGAGGGAGUAAUCUAGAAGGCAAACAAAUAGGCCCUUUCUAAAUUAACCACCUUUAUUUUCCGUUAUAAAAAUAUAACCCUCGAAAUAUGGAUCUAGAAUGCCUAUCUCUCUACCGCUAAUGAAUGGUAAUCUCAAGCAACCCCCAACACUUUGCCAUUGUGAAAGUCUCAAACGCAUCCGUCUCCAAAGCUAACUUCAGAUUCACCCAGAUUCAGACUGAUUCAGCAUGAAGAGCCCCUUGACAGUACUGCAACUUCCCGGCUACUGCUAUCAUCACAUCACCCUGCGAAUCUCUGAUGGCAUGGCCCAAAGCUCCCUCACCAGUCACCGCUACUCUUCUUGUGAAAAGCUCCAUCAGUAUUGGUUUUCAGGACAUCUACCGGUGGGCGCCUCCAACAAUAUCCUUUUGUCUCUGCGAUCUGACAGACAUUUGUUGGCCUUCUCCUAUUUUUCAGAAAUUCGUCAGUGUACUUCCACCAUGCAUUGCCACAUACUACUGCUGUAUGCAGGAGAAGGAGCAGAGGAUUGGUGGCGACUCCAAUCCCUUUCCUUCUAGAUCAAUUUCCUCCCAGAUCUUCAGUACCCAUUUACGUCUUGUUUGGAUCCGUCCAACUAGCUAAACUUCAGAAACUUUUUAAAAUUUAGCUAGGGGUAUUUGGAUCUACCAACUAAAUGAUAGUUAAAGAGCUAUUUGUCUAUUCUAGCCCCUCCCAAUUUAGAAACUUUUCCCAAGGAAGGUGGGGUAAUUUGGUUUUAACAGUUUAGCUAAGUUUAACCGGCUAAACUUUAGCUGAGUCCUGUUUAGAUCCAUAGCAGCUAAAUGUAGCCAGCUAAAAUUUAGCUGGUGGAUCCAAAUAGAGCCUUACACUUGAAAAAAAUGACAUUGUUAUUUAACGCAUGUUUUAUUUUUAAAAAAAUUACCGUGCGUUGCUACGGGCAGUAAAAUAUUUCAGUGCAAUAUGAAGAGCAUAGGAAAUAUGGUGUUGAUCUACUUAACGUGUUGUUUAAGGCUCAUUGAAAUCCACAAGCAUCAACAUUGGCGUAAUAGUGAUAAACCAAGCAUAAACAUAGUAUACAAAAAUAGUUAAUUCAAGUAAAAUUAUAAUCCAACACCAUGUCUCAGUUCAAGUUUAACACAACACUUGAAACUGAAUAUACAUUUGCUCUUUGCCUUAUGUCCAACUAUAGUAACGAUUCAAGCUCACUGAACCAAACGGCCUGAACAGACCCUAGAUAAACAACCAGUCCUGAAAAUACCAGGACAGUACCUUCCCCAAAGCCCAGUCAGCAGAAUCAAAGUAAGCUCUUUCAUGGUCCUCAUAUGAAACUUUAAACAUAGGUAAGAGGACAUGGACAUUAGAGACAAAAAUAAAUUAACUUCUCUUGUUAUGGUGAAUGCAUACCAUCUCUUUCAUUGUGAUCAAAAGCUUCUACUUUCUCAUCAGAUGUAACAGAAAUCUGACAUAAAUCUACUUUCUCAGGACAAAUACGGAAUUCAGACAUAAAUCUUGAUAUGAUGAACAAUAUCAGUGUAUAGGAUACAUACAGAUCACUACAUCCAAAUAAUAGACUAUUUAUGACUUAGAUAGGACCAAAGUUAUAAUUCUGAUAUGAAUAGCUUAAACUCCUCACUAAAUAUUUGACUACUCUUCCACCUGGAGCUUAACAGUAAAGACCGCGGUAAUAGUGAAAAUGGUGCAAAGUAUGAGGCUUAUGAAAUAUGGUGCUCCUUCCAACCUACAUGAGUCAUUCUAAUUCUAAAUUCACCCCAUAGUUAAAGUUGAGUGACAUAUAUUACCCAAAACAUGCAUACCAACGGACCUGCUUUGCUCCAAAAAAAAGAAGGAAAAACAGAUGUCAAAGAAAAGGAAAAAAAGAAAAAAAAUGACCAUAUUUGGAUGAGAGCGGGUGUCAGUGUCCAAAAGUCAUAAGCAUAUGAAGGGAACAUGAAGUGGUGGAAAUAGUCAAUUCAUAAAGAAAAAGAUUUGGCAUACCACUGAAUUAGUAUAAGUAAGAAAUUAUAGCAGCUGUUCCUGUAAGCACCAUUCAGCUAGACACAUGUUUCUGUAUCAGAAAAAACUUAAUACUUUUAACAGCUUUUUUAUCACCAUUGUGAUCACUCACACAUUUGGCAAGCCAUUCAUUUAGCGAUUUCACUAUCCUGCCUAUCAAGAACAGGUGUAUUUACAAAAAAGUAACUGCUGUGUCAAACAGAUUCGGGAUGUUCUACACCACCAGUUACUGCAUACAAACAGUCAAUACUGCAAUUCAAAAUUCCCAUAUAUAACAACUAAAUUCUAUGCUACAACUCUAUAGAGUUCACAAUUCAGUUCUGUAAUGAGGAGAAGCCAGAUUAGUCUGACCCUGUCAAAUUCUGAAAGAUCCAAAACCCACCAAUGCUAAGCAUGCUGAUCACCCUACAAAAUGGCCACACAUGUCAAACACUAAAAUAAGAUAUAUAGCUUUGGUUAUCACUGACCACAUCUUGACCAUUCCAUAGGCACAAUGAAAUGGAAAUAGUAAGAUCAAUUGAGAAAGUUUGCAUUCUACUAUGUACAACCUAACUAAAAAGCCAACACGGCAAACAAAGAAUCACCCAUGCAAACGGCACCCGAGCUAAUACAGUUGUUUGCUGUACUUUCAGUUUAUGAGCUGAAAACUAAUCUAAUGGACUACCACAAUUUGGCAAGCUUUCAGUCUAUGAGCAGCAAGAAAUAUAUAUAGCUCAAUUGAAAGAACAAUCGCUAAGCCAACAAUCAGCAAAGAGCUCACAAUCAUAUCUUAGCACUCUUGUCGUGCCAUUCGGCCAUAUGCAUUUUAAUACAUGUGGAAGCCAAUUUCACAAACAAGUAGUAAGUACCUCUGAAAAACAAUAUGCUCAUACUUUGCAUUGUAGCUUAUGUCAUCACACUGCAUGAAGUAAUCAGAUAAAGCCAUCAGUUUAUCAUACAUUCAUACAAGGGAUCAAUAUUGCAACACAAGAUGAAAACAAAAUAUUCAUGACAAUGUAGCACAGCUGGUUUGGAAUAUGUGCCCACCACGUUUUGUAAAAAAGACAUCUAGAAUUAAAUAUAGGCUCAUAAGGAAAUUUAACCCUUGUUCCCUAAAAUCAUCAGGGCGAUUUCCCCUCCCUGCGCCUGAGUUAUCAGCCGGCCCUUUAUCCCUAAAAUCUCUGAAGUCCCCUUCUUAAUUACGGAGAUAAUGGAAAAGGGAUAAAGGAUAAUAUAUUUGCCUUUGUAUUGAUGAGAUAAUGGGAAAGGGAUCAAAGCAUUGUCAUCUCAUACGUUCCCUGUUUUUUUGGGAACUUACAGCAUUUGCAAUAUGAAGCUGUAAUACACUAGGAUAGUAGGAUAAAAUGUGAUGCUUCACCAUAUAAUUCAGAAGAUAGUAAAAUAUUGUCCAAUGAUAAAGUAGGCCUCAUGUAGUGUACGAUAAAACAUCAGGGUAUUUUUAUCAAGCUAAUAUUCCCUACCAGAAUACAACCCACCUUCUCAGCUCCAUGCCGAUUGAAUUGGACAGAGAUCUAAUCAGGCUUCUAAGAUCUUAUGACAAUCGGGACCAAUAAAUUUCUUAUCAACUAAAAAUUAUAUUAGAAACCAAAUCAAAAGGCUUAGAAUACAAAUGCUUGCCACUUGCAGGAAGAUCAGAAGAAUCAUUUUGUUUUUCCAUUCUAACAAACUUUACUUCAUUGUGUAUAUGUAACCUAAUGCUAUUGAAGAGAGUAGCAGCAUCUUACUGCGGCAAGUAACUCAUGACCGAUUAGGGAAAAUAGGUUAACAACAUAAAGUGUGGUUCAUAUGAUGGGACAUUAUUAAUCUGAUUAGUACAGUUGAAGUGAGAAGGAAAUACUGAUAUAAGCUGCAAUAAGCAAGCUUACCUUGCUUUUGUGUGACAGAACGUUAACCUAAUAAUCUCUCACUUAAAAUAAAUUAAAAUGCCAAAUAGUACACAAAUAAUAGAAUGGGUUUUACAAUUCCAAAGCACAAACUAAUCUUACAAUUAUUCAGGAAAAGGAUCAAUAAGAAACAGCCUAGUGCAGGAAGCAAGAGAUAAAUUGGUCUUGCAAUAAAGAGGAAAGAAACCAACACACCCAUGUGGUGAACAUAAUAAUAUAAAAUAUAAAAAGAAAAUGCAGUAUAGUUAAGAGGAUGUAGAAAUGCCUAGAAGAAUUUGUUUGAACUUACCAUUGUCCAUGAAAUGAGGCAGUAUGUGCAGUCCACUAUUCAUGUAAAAAAGUUUAUGCGCUGAACAACCCUUCAGGUCAAAGGCGAACCAGAUUUUGUGCCCCUAAUUCGAGUAAGCAAAAUGAUAAAACAAGAAGGAAAGCAUCAAAUUUUCACCUGGAGCAGUGGAGCACGUAGUCUCCAACCAUUCUUUAAAACUCUCCUCCAUUCUGCUCACCUCCUUAAAAUCUAUAAAUUGAGGGAUGAGUUCCUUGGCCUCCGAUCCAUAUUCUUCAGGAGCAUGCAAAUCCCACUCUCUUCCUCACGGCUUUUUAAUAGAGCGGAAUGCAGUUUGGCCACCUACAUGAAGGGGAUUUAGACCAGCGGCUGCUCAGUUCCAAAUCGUGCGAAGAACAAGAUCUAAAAUCCAUGUGGAGUAACUGUAGCAGUGGUGGGACGGCUUCGCGAUGGUUGCAUCAGUGGUGGCGCGGCGGCCCUUACCAGCGCGGCGACGUUUCACGCAAGGUGAUGACCAAGGCACCAGAUGUCGUCGGCGCUCUCCUGGCCCUCCCCUUGCAGGAUGGUACCUUGGCCUGCACGAGCGUAGGCAAGCGCAGGUGCGGCGGUCGCCCUCACGCCCGUCCUCCGUGCCGGACUGGAGGAAAUCGGCUGCAGACGAAUGCGGGGGAGGUGCGGCGGAUCAGUUAAGCAUCAUGUGAAUUUCAAGACAGGAAUUUUGAUGGGUGAGGAGCACCUCGAUGGGGAUGGAUGGGCGACUAGAUUGGGGCGCCACCCCUCCCACUGUACAGGAUCCGCCGCCGGGAUGGAUCGGGGGGCACCGCCUCUCGCUGUCGAAGCGCCGCCACUCUUGACGGCGGCGGCGGCGCAGGUGUUGCGGCGGCGGUCGGUGUGGCAAAAUCCUGAACGACGGCAUCGGUGUUGCGGCGGCAGUGGUGUCGGUGUUGCGGCGACGGCGGCGGCGGUGCUAGAGGAUCUCACGGCGGCGGCGGCGGCGGUGUUUUGCAAUGGAGGCCGAUGGAGAUGCAGGACGGGGAACCCUGGACGGCGGCGGCGGCGUUGCUGCGAUGGGGAGGGAAACUGGACCAGGGAGUUGGAGGCGGAGAGAGUUGGCGGAGGGAGGGCGAUUGAUCGUAGGGCCAGUGCUGCGUCGGGGUCUCGUCGGGCCGAGGGACGGCUCGAAGCCAACCCCGAGGAUCGACGGCGGAACGCGGCGGGCGCGGACGCGGGCGCGUUUGCAGGCAACGGAGGGCCGCUAAUCGAUCGAGGCGGACCGAAUUUUUACUCGGUUUUGUUUUUUUAGCUGUAGAGAUUUAACACAUGUUUGUCAACAACACAAGCAGGCAAGCAGCAUAUCUCUCGCACUCGCUCACUGUCACAGUGGACCCACACACACACACACACACACACACCCUUACAGAUGGGCCACGGCCAGCAGCCCAGCACAUCACACGCGCUCAUGUCUUGGUUUAUGGGCUGAAACUUAAUUAGUAGGAGAUGUCGUCGUGGGCUGCAACUUUACGGGCUCGUCCAACUUCCUAGGCCCACAAUAGCCAACCACGAAUCCACGAUCCACUUGAAGGUAAAUUGUUCCUCUCAAAAAACAAAAAACUUGAAGGUAAAUUGUUUAGUUGUGACACAUGGAAAUCAAGCUGCAGCUUAUAAUUAAUUACUCCGUAACUGCGAGUUGUGAAAUCCUUCCAUGGCCGUUGUUCUUGGUGGUGAUCUGAGCCUGAGCUCCGUCCGGCGGCCGUCAAGCACGUCACCUCCUGGGCUUCCGGAGCAGCGCGGAGAUGUACCACUCGUCCAUCUCGACGCCCCGGUCGAGCUUCCGCCCGGCGUUCCACCGGAGCUUCUCGAACCCGAUCCGCUCAAACAUGGGCACGUACGUGGCGUCCAGCUGCGCCCCCAGGCCGAAGAAGUGGUCGAGCCAGAACACGCCGCCGGGCCGGAGCACCCGGAACACGUCGAAGAGCGCGAGCUCCAGCACCGCGUCGGGGAUCCAGCCGCUGAGCACGUGCAUCGAGUGCACCAGGUCCAGCGCCCCGUCCGGGAACGGCAGCCGCGCCGCCACGCUCAGGUGCAUCGCCACCAGCCCCCGCGACGCGAUGAAGCCGCAGAACGGCCCGUCGAAGUUCAUCGACGUCGUCACCACCGUCACGCCGCGCUCACGCAUCCGCGCCGCGAAGGUGCCCGUCCCGCCGCCGAUGUCCAGCCCGAUCCGCGCCGUGCCUUUUGGAAACGUGGCGAGCACGCCGUCGAUGGUGUAGUCGAGCGAGUUCUUCUCCCGGUCGUCGUCGUCGUCGUUGUUGCCGGCGCGGCGCAUCCAGCGGUCCUUCUCCCGGCCGCGGAGGUCGAAGCAGUCCUUGCAGUCGUAGCUGCCGCCCUUGGCCUUCCCGCGGUUCACGAGGCAGGAGUAGUUCUUGCAGGUGUACGCGUCCCAGACGACGCUGGUGUCGGGCGGGAUCGCCCACAGGCUCGCCGGCAGCGGCGCCGGCUCCACGUACCCGGCGGGGGUGCGCGGCCGGCACCGGCGGCGCGGCAGCGGCUCGCACCCCUUGAGCAUCAGCCGCUGCGCGAACGCCUCGUCGGAGGGGCACUCCCCGCCGGCGGUGUAGUUCAUGUACCGCUCCAGGUCGCCGCGGUGCCGGUGGCACGCCUGCCCCACCGCCGGGAACAUCACCUCACCGCCGGCGCCGGGCCGCCUGUGCGGGCCGACCGCCCACCGAAGCUCACCACCGGCGGGGAGGUCCCGCUCCCGCCGCCACAGCCCGCCGUUGGCCGCCGCCGCCUGCCGCUGCUCCUCCCGGGCGGCCUCCAUGUCGCGCUUGGCGGCCGAGCCGCCGCCCAGGAUGGCCUCGAGCUGCUUGUUGGCCGCGGUCAGGCGGUUCGACAGGUCCACCACCUCGGCGUGGCUGGCCGCGAGCGCCAGGCCGGUGACGUUGAGCUCGCGGAGCAGCUUGGACGAGCCCCACGCGUGGACGGCCGCCGGGUAGCGCCUGCCGACGUGGGCGUGGAGCGCCGCGCCGGCGCCGGAGAAGACGAGGAUGGACGCCGCGUUCGUCAGGAACAGGAGCACCACCACGGCCCUCGACCUCCUCUGCUGCUGCUGCUGAUGAUGCUGGUCUGGUCUGGGCUUCUUGCCAAUGUCGUAGUCCAUGCUCCCCAUGAUGCAACAGCAGCAAUGUAUGAACCCUUUUUUUGCUGGAUACGGCGACAAGUUUGAUGCCAUGGCGCGUGGUGUUUAUAGAUGUGUGGAUUUGGCAAGUGUAGGUGACGACCAAGGGAGGAACAAUUGGAGGAGAGGUUUCCAGACUUGCGGCCUGUUCGGCUGGACUUAUAAGCCAGCUGAAAAGUUGAAACGUCUAAUUUAUUGUGAGAGAAAAAUAUUGUUUGGAUGCUUGAGGAGUGAACAAAGCAGAGAUGGUGCCUGCGGCCCUGUGGGUGUGUAUUCAUUUGCAACAUGGAGUGGUGGUCAACACGUACACCUUGCCAUCUCGGCACGCCUCGCAGCACUCUGUUGUGAUGUGUGAGGGUAGGACUGAAGAUGACAGGCCACGGUGGUGCCACGAUGGUUUGCUUCGCCAUGAAAAUGAAGAGCCUGUGUGCAUCAUACACACCAAGCUAGUCAAACUCUUGGAAGAGCUCGAAGCAAUUGCAGAGCCCUCCUUUGUCCCCUGCCUGCUUUCGAGCGAGGGAAGGCACGGGCCACCGGGGGGCCAGCUGCAGGUAUAUUCCCAACCCAAUUUAGCACUCGUUACAAAAAAAAAAAAAAGGUCUACAAGAACUGAAGAUGCAGUCAGCAACUCGGAACCAUAUGCAUUUGUUAUCAACAUUGUGCAUCAGAGGAAUCUUGACCUGGCAAAGCUAGCCAGCCAUAUCACAAGCCUAAGCUCAUGCCUAUCAGCUCACCCUAAAACCUCUGAUAAUAAAAAGCAGAAAGAGCAAGACAAAACAAUACAACAAUUCCCUCCUUGUUUACUUCCCUCCAAACUCCCAACUUUGACACUAUGUAAAAAGAAGAUUCCCCAUCACAUUAAACUUGCGGUACAUGCAUGGAAUACUAAAUGUAGACGAAAUCAAAAACUAAUUGCACAAUUUUGUGUACUUUGCGAGGCGAAUCUUUUGAGCCUAAUUAGUCAAUAUUUGGACAAUAAUUCACAAAUACAAACGAAACGUUAUAGUGUCGCAUUUAUGGCAAAAUGCCAAUUUUGCAACUCCCAACUUGGGAAGUAAACAAGGCCUCCGUAGGUUUAAUCCAACGACAUUAUAGCAACAGGAUCAUUUUGAUGUAAGACUGCAAAAAGUGCCCAUGAGGCCUGCAAUCUAAGGUACAGCCUACAGCGACUGCUGCAUGUCCCUGUUGCAGUAACCUGUGGACUGUCGCACUCAGUCUAAACACACUUGCAGAGCUAUGUAUGAUUCACUAUGACAUUGACAAAUGAAAAUCAAAGUCAUGCAUUCGCUUGCGACGGGGAUUGCUUGGGAACCCCCCUACUGCAAGCAGCACCUUUUAGCAAAUGGCUCACAACCUUCAACUAUCAUGAUUCCUACCUAAGAAAGUAAUCCACCUAUCAUGCCUAUAGAUCAAUAAACCAAUAUAGUUCCAAUCACAAUUUCCCCCCUCCCUCUAGGCUCUUCGCAGGCAAGCCAUUCUAAAUCUGGUAAGAGCACAGCAGUGAGGAAUUCAGAUAGCCAGCUUCACUGGCAUUGUCUAUUGUUGAAAAUUCAUAUUAUAACAACCAUCUCAUAUGUACAGACAGAUCGACUGGAGAAGGGGAAUCUGUACACAUCCAUCCCAGGUUAAAACUUCUCCCCCAACAGUAAAAAGAAUUUCCACCAACUGUCAAAGACGAAAAUAGCCAAAACCCCUAUUGCUAAUAUUACCUCCAACCUUGUAUGUAAACAGUAAAGCAAUCAUCUUAUCUUGUAAGCCCAACCAUGCUCGCUCAAAAAUGCAUGUACAGCUUCCUUGAUGGCAAGAUUCGGAACUAGCUGGUGUGGUUCAAGCGCCUCACGGGUCAAAGGGUCAAACUUCCCCACCUACAAAUUAGGAGAGUUCAUAAUUUUGACACAUAAAACACUAGUGUACUGUGAGAAAUUGUUGAUGUUCGUGUCAGUUACCGUUUGAAGAUGGUCAAGAAGUACAGCCCUCUCAUAAGUAACUCCACUUGGGGUGAUCACUGGGUCUCUGAAGGUAUCAAGUGUAAUUUUGCAGCAGAGAUGAUCAGGAACCUGAAAAUAAAUAAAUUGAAUGAUUAGACCAGUCAAGGCAACCAAGUAAACGUCAUCUCAGGCAGGUUAGUACUUCUGCUGGAGUAUCAGCCUUUGCAGCUUUCUUGAAAACUUCCUCUAGCUCAUUUAGCUGUUCUUCAGGUUCAUCUGCAGCUGGAUUACCAAGGCUAUUGUAAUUCCUAAGAGCUUGUUUGCAUUCUACCCUGUAAAACGAUGAACAGAUACAUUAGGGUACUAGAGUACACCCCUGUGAUACUAAUUGAACAACACAGAAAAUCUUCACUUACUUCAGCUUCUGCAAUUGAAAGGCUCGCUCUCUUGAUAAGCCUUCCCAUUCGAUGUAUUUUGCUUUAGAAAGCUCUUGCCAAAUCUCUUCAACCAUGUAGCUUGCAGGAUGUGCACCCCUUCCUAGCUCCAAGGACUAGUUUUGAAAAUGUUUGGUUCAUCAGUAAAAACAGAAUAAAGAGAAUUUGAAUUCUAACUGAAAUAACAUAAUCAUCUGAAGAAAACUGGAUUAAAUGAGACAUUCAUAAUUAUGGUUUUCCUGUUCCUGUAGUUGUUGCACUAAUUCUUGAUUCUGGUUAAGAUCAGAGUUUUCAUCUUUAUCAGAUCAAGAGAACUAGGACAGGGCAUCUUGAUAUUAAUAUUUUGUUAAGAAUGGUUUGCCAAUCCUGUGCUUAUACGACUUAUAUUGUACAUGACAGGAUGGAACAGGAACAAAAGCCAGCACGUUCCCCACAAAAAAAAGAAGGAAUAAAGGCCAGCUUAAGGCGAAGUUGGACCAUGACCCCACAAGUAGAACAAUAUUUUAUUUAUACGUAGUUGAGGUAACUGAGGGAGGUCAUCAACUUAGUAAAGGAAUAGAAGUGGUCAGCUUAAGAUUAAUGAUUGGUAAAAAUGGAUUGUGCUAGUAAAUGAGCAAAAUAAUACAAGCACACCCUAGGGCAGGAGGGAGUGAGAGAGAUACCUUCUCCAGUGCUUUUAUUCCUUCAGACAAUCUUUGGCUGUUGACAAGUGCUAGGCCCAGCAUGUAAUGUCCCUGCCAACAAAGUAAAUAAGUUAUCAUCUAAAGAAAAGAGACUAGGAGAUGAGUAUAAAUAUGAUGUUUUCCUCAUCCAUUAAAAAAAACAACUACAGUGAGUGCUUAAUGUGAGUGUGUUCCCCUGACUUUAGUUACCCCCACAGUGCCACCGCAACGUCAACAGUGAAUUAAAGACCAAUGUCAAAAUGGUUACACACAGUGAGUUCAGUACUCAGAUUGACCGAAGUUAACAGACAAGUAACAAACAUAUUCUAUAGUGUUUGACUUCGCUUCUGUUCCUUCUCUUAACUCCAGAAUAGUGGAUCCCAAGACUUAGGGGGUGUUUGGAUACCCCAUACUAAAGUUUAGCACCCGUCACAUCGGAUGUUUGGAUGCUAAUUAGAAGUAUUAAAUAUAGGCUAAUUACAAAACUAAUUGCACAAAUGGAGUCUAAUUCACGAGACGAAUCUAUUAAGCCUAAUUAGUCCAUGAUUUGACAAUGGGGUGCUACACUAACCAUUUGCUAAUGAUGGAUUAAUUAGGCUUAAUAGAUUCGUCUCGCGAAUUAGCAUAGGGUUUUGCAAUUAAUUUUAUAAUUAGCUCAUGUUUAGUCCUUCUAAUUAGCAUCCGAAUAUCUGAUGUGACACUGCUAAAGUUUAGCACCUAGUAUCCAAACACCCCCUUAAUUACAAACAUAUCUUACAUGCUCUAUUGCAAAUCAAAGUGUAUAUGUUUGAAGCAUAUCUUACUGACUCAUAGAGCAAGUCAGGAUCAUUCUGCUAAAGUCAGAAUUCUAGCCCCCAUUUUUUGCAACAACUUCAAAAAAUAACAAAGGACUUUCUACCUAUUGGAAAAUCAGACUUAUGGAAAAUUCAAUUCAAGUGGAACGAGGCAAACAGAAACAAGCUCAGCAACUGGAUUAAUCUAGUACACCCUGUUUGCAAGCGGACCUUCCAUCUGAGAGACAACAACAGGUGCCUCAGCUUGUUCAUGUGGAAUCAAGUCCAGUUUCACGUUGUGCUAAGCCACAUAAUCCAGCUGGCAAGUACAAUCUUCCCAAUUCUAUUAAAGUAAUUUCAUUGGCUCUGAAGUAGAGACAUUUAGAUAUCUUUAGGCAUAGAGUGUGUCAAGAAGUGGAAGUAAACAGAUCCUUUUUAAAAAGCAGCUCAUCUCCACAGUACCAAAUGAAGCCUAACUCAACUAGCAUGUUGAUGUGUGCAGAAGGUGAAAUACUAACAUGAAUACUAAAUCUGUUACAUAUUUGGUCAAGAAAAAAAAGUGAUGGGGAAUGAAAUGUGUUUCCAAAUGAGAAAACGAUGUCCUUAUAAUGCACAGUACAUUUCUCAAUAAUCAGCAUGCCCACAUAGUCAGCACUGAACAAAACACACAAAAAAUAGUUAAAGACAGAUCAAGUCAUCACCUUAACAGAUUGGCUGUCAAGCUGGAUAGCCGUUCUACAGUCUUCCUCAACCUUGGCCCACUCACUGGCAAAUUCAAUAGGAACACAGUAUGGUGUAAACACUUUGAUUGCACAUUAAAAUUGAUAAGUAAAAUGCAACAACCAAAAAGGACUAGCAAUUUUACAGACUUCCGCUUCUUAUAGCAAAGUGCCCGGUUGGUCCAAUAUACUGCAACAUUUGGGCAGAGAGUGAUGGCCUGUCAACCAAAAUAGACAAUGAAGUUAGCAAAGGACGUGCAAGAUAUAAAGAGAUUUAACUAGAACUGCCAUCAUUUUUACUAACAUAUAGUUUAUCAUAGAUUCAUACACGCUUUCACUACAACUGCCAUCAUUUUAAAAAGGCCAAACAAGUGGGACUAUCAAGGUGGACAGGUAAGCUUUAGUCUUGGGUCCCGUUUGACACAGCUCUAGCUCUUAGCUCCAAGUCAGAUUUAGAGUUUAUAAACUAAAAUAAAGUAGUAUACAAAUCUAUUUCUGUCGGAAUUGAAUCAAAAGGAUUCACAUAAACAGUCCCAAUGUAGCCCCAGCUCCAGUUCCAUGAGAACUUGGACAUAGGAAUACCCAGCUCCAAGCUGGAGCUGUGCCAAACAGUCCUUUACUUGAAUGGCUAAAACCAAAUCAUUCAAUGUUCCGUUCAUUAAUAUAAAAUUAAUAUUUAAUAAUCCUGUGAUUCACAAGCAUAACAAUUCUAGAGGCUUCUGAUGUUUGUACAACCUGGUAUAUGAUUGGAACAUUUUCCUGCCCACUCUCCAUCAAUUCUUUCACUCCCCAACCAAUUUCCAUGACUAGCACUAGAUGUCUAGCAAAUUACAAAUACAAGCAACAGCCCAUUAGCAUUGUAUAGCCCCACAAGGCCACAAUACCUUGAAAGGUAAAAUGCUUUUCAACUUGCAUUGUGCUGCAGAGACUCUUGACUAGAUAGCAGACAUCUAGUAUGUUUUAAAUAAAUGGACUACUCCAGAUAGCAAGAAGCAAUACGUGUAAUCAGUAAUCAAACCGCUCAACUGCCCAGUGCAAACAAGCUUACAACAAUUGGUUAACUCGAAACUAGUACCACAAGAUAUCACGUUAACCAUCCUGACCAGCAAUGUCAACACCACAAAUCAACUUAUCUAGCCAUGGUUACUAGUAGUACUGGAAGCAAUUUCAGAGAAUUUAGUAAAAAAUCAGACAAUUCAGCAAACAUCCAGAGAAUUUAUCAGCGUCACGUUACAAACGCACAGCAGGCCUUCGCGGAAUGCACUAGCAUCACUGUCUCACUGAUACAUCGCUGCACAGCGCAUCGAUUGAACAGGAGAAAACAAAAACCGACGCCUAACAAAUGGAAACGGCAAGCGUAACCGGCGAAUCAGGCGGCACAAUCCGGCGCCGGAAAGCUCGCCCCGGCGGUAGCGGGUCGCGGCGGGCCACGCUUACCCCUGUGUAGGCGUCGAUGGCGGCGCUGAGGCGUUCCUUCCUGAAUAAGGCGUUGCCCUCCUGCUUGAGCCGGUCCGCCUGCCGCUGCGACUCCGCCCCGCUGUCCGCCGGCGCCGGCGCCAUCUCCGGCGGCCCGCACUCGCCUCGCGCUCGUGAGAGGAAGGGGGUGGGCGGGGAGGAGGCGCGAUUUGCUCGUGUGGGAUCGUGGCGUGCGCCUGGCGGCUUCGUUUUUUGGUGGGGAGUGGUGGAAUGGAAGGGAAGAACAAUUGCAAGGGACCCGAGGCGAGGGAGGCGAGGGCCGGGUGGGUGGGGGGACGCGGGGAUGGGUGAUUUUUUGCGAUGGGGUCCCUGGAUUUGACUAUGUGAGGGCUUAAUAGCGAAAAGUAAAUAAGAGACGUGUACGUGCUGAGAGUCUGAGACGUAUGGUAAGUGGUUGAAGGGCUUGAUCACAAAAACCAUCCAUAGCAUGCAAUUCAAUUUGACUACUAUCUAGAAAUAUACAAGUUUCUACAUGGAAUUCACAGCUUAUAGAUGAUGAAACCAACAAGAAAGACAAGUGAGAUGACAUAAAAGGAUUUUGAUGUGAAGUGUACAGGUAGCUUGUAAGCUUGUAUCAUGUAUUGAUGCGUGCAAUUAUCUUUUACUUAUUUGUCAAAAGUUUAACCCCAAUAUACUAAAAUUGCAUACUCGUUGUUCGCAAUUUGAAAUAGUCAUAUUUCAUAGAGUCAUCAUGUGUGGAAGUCUAUUAGAUUGAUAUUUUACCACUGUUGCUUUGCUAUAUUUAUUGAUCAUAUUUCUUUAAUUAUAAUAAACAUCACAUCACUUGUUAUCUUGCAUCAUUUGCUUAGUUGCUUUGAUCAGAGGAUCCAAUUGUUUGCUCUAUUAUUUUUAUCCAUCCUCAAUUCCUUAUUGUACAGGUUACAAAGGGAUUGUCACUACAAUUCAAAUGAUGCAUUCACCUCAUUCAUGUUAAAAUAGCCUACCAGUUUAGUUAAUUUUGACAAAGAAGAUGUAAAGAUAUAUGUAUCCUUUCAAGAACAUUUAAAUUAAACCACCCUUUAUGUAACUAUAUUUUUGUAACAGUAACUACAGUUUUGAUACCGACAUGCUGUAAUUCAAAUCGCAAUUCCAAAUAAACCAGCCAUAUCAAAUUCCACGAAGCACAAGGUGCUUUCGGGACAAAACACAAUCUGUGAAUCGCCAAUUCGCCAUUGCCCGCAAGGCCGCAACGCAUAGGGGAGAACGGAAUCGACCCCUCUCCAGUCUCCACCCGAGCUUGCACAGCAGCGCACGCGGGGAGAGACAUGGCGACGGAAGAGGAGGUGCCGGAGGCGGAGGCGGCGGCGGCGGUGGCGCCCGCGCCAGCUGGUGGAGGCGGGGACGACGCGGAGAUGCCCGACGCCGCCGCGCCCUCGGGCUCCGACUCGGACUCGUCGGACUCCGACGACGAGGGGGCGGGCGGCGUCGACGAGCUCCGCAUCCAGGCCCUAGAGCGGACACUCCAGGAGCAGCCUCUCGACUACGAGACCCACGUGCAGGUACCCUUCGCGCUCCCCAUUCCCCCGCUGCCACGGCUCGCUAGGGUUUUGAGUGGGUUUAGUCGUGGUGUUGGUUCGCGCAUUUGAUGGAAGCUAGUACACUACUAGGGUUGGAAUUAGUGCGUGCCUUUACGCAUUUGAUCCCUUUUGUUAGGCUAGAUAUGCUCAUUAGGCUGUCAAUUUUGGUGCGUGUCAGCUGCAAUGCAGAAAUGGAUUGUUAUUUUUUUCAACAGGUUUAUUACUUCGGUCCUAGAGUAAUUGGGGUUGCUUCCUCAUGUAGAUAGUAGUCAUUCUUAUGCUGCCUUAGAUGGGUGGUCACUGUUAUUUGACAGACUUCCCAUACUAUUUGGUAUUAGCCUGAAUGUUUUGCGUCUGUUGUUGCAGUAUAUCCAGUGUUUGAGGAAGUCAGGCAACAUUGAGAAGCUUCGCGCGGCAAGGGAAGAGAUGAACAAGUACUUCCCUCUUACCCCGAAGAUGUGGCAGGAGUGGGCGAAGGAUGAAAUCUCACUGAGCAUGAGGUUUGUGAUUGUUUUCUCCUUCUUAUGCCUUCCUGAAUUUAUUCGUGUCAUGUGCUGCCUUCCUGAAGUAUUCACGUCGUGCAGUCUGCACUUCAGAUUCAUGGAAAACUGAGUUUCAUUCUGUGGUUUUGUUUGUCUGUCUUGGUUGUUUUGUCACAGUGAGGAAUCUUUCGCUGAUAUUGAAAAGCUAUAUGAGCGUGGGGUGCAAGAAUACCUGGUAUGUUGAAUUGUUCUUAUGAUAUUGUAUUUAAACUAUUGAGCUUGAGCAUCUGGUUGUGGAGUGCUAACUUACUGUGGUGAUCAUUACACUGCAGUCCAUUAAGUUAUGGCGGGAUUACCUUGACUAUGUCGAAGAGCAUGAUCCAUCAGUGUCUCAAUGUACAACGUCUGGCCUCUCCAAGAUGAGAGAUUUGUUCGAGCGAGCCAUCACUGCAGGGGGGCUGCAUGUUACUGAGGGCAGCAAACUGUGGGCAGCUUAUAGAGAAUACGAGAUGGCAAUUUUGAUCACCAUCAGUGAUGACAAUGAUGAGGAAAGGGCAAAGCAAGUUCAGCGUAUACGCAUGCUAUUCCACCGCCAGUUAUCUGUUCCUUUGGCUGAGAUGGAAUCUACACUUUCUGAGUAUAAGAUCUGGGAAGCCGAGCAAGGGAAUGAAAAUGAUCCAGGUUCCAAUUUUGAUGGUGUCCCCUCAAAUGUCGUAUCUGCUUACAAAAAGGCCAAUGAUAUGUACAAUGAAAGGAAGCAAUAUGAGGAUCAACUAAGCAAUGCAGGCGCAUCUGAAGCUGACAAACUGCAGGAGUUUCUGGUAUGCUUAACAUAAUUUAUGACCUUACAAUGCUGAACUUAAAUCUUGUUUAAAUUCAUCCUUCUAGGGCUAGGCUUGUACUAUUUACUUGAGAAUUGAGAUGCACUCCUAUUAUUGUGUCAACGUUUAGGAUAUUUUUCAUAUUAGGCCUAUCUGUGACUCUGAGCUGCUCUCCUGCUUCAAGUUUGUGGUGAAAAUUUACAUCUUUGUUGAAAAGCUCUUUGUUUGAUUUCUCUCUUUUUUUACACAAUUUCUCUCCUUUUGGUUGGUUUAACUGAAAGUUAUAGAAUUACAGUUCCAUUUGAUGACCUUGCCAGAAAAAAAACAUUUUGUUCGUCAGUUCUGUCCUUUGAAUUCCUGUUUCUGUAUUCCAGCAUUUUUAUCUGUGGCUCUGCUCAGUUAGUACUCCGUAACUUUUAAAGGAAAAUCUUACUCCCUCUGUUUGAAAAUGUAGGUCGUUUUGGCUUUUCUUGAUACAUAGAUAUUGCUAUGCACCUAAAUAUAGUGUUAUGUCUAGAUACAUAGCAGAAAAGCCAAAAUGACCUACAUUUUGGAACAGAGGGAGUAUUUGGAAACCAAAACAGAAUCUAUAUGUUCCCGUUAUAUUCUGUAUAUCACAAUGUGAGUUCAUAGGUUGUUUGCCACCUUUCAGUCUUCCCAAGCUUAUGUUUCAUGUGAUGCUUAUUCUUUCUUUUCCAACAAAAGGGGUGCCAUCUCACCAUAUCCAUUACCUUUUACUGACAAUAUUCUUGUUCUUUGCUAACUCAAUGUCACUUAUUUGUAUAUGAAACAGAAAUAUCUCAAAUUUGAAGAAUCGUCUGGUGACCCUGCUCGUGUUCAAGUUCUGUACGAACGAGCUGUUUCAGAGCUGCCUGUUUCAACCGAUGUAUGGAUAGGAUACACGAGCUACCUGGAUAGAACCUUGAAGGUCCUUUUAGAAACUUGUUUGGCAAUACAUGUCGAUUCAAUCGUGAUAUUCUCUCUUUAAUAUCAAGAGAUGCCUUUUUUCUCUGCAGGUGCCUUCUGUACUAAGAAGUGUUUAUCACAGAGCCACAAGAAACUGUACAUGGGUUGGUGAGCUAUGGGUCCAUUAUCUCUUGUCUUUGGAGCGGGUUCGUGCUUCUGAAGAAGAACUACGCAAUGUAAGUUUCUUACUUCUCUCUUUUGACAUGUAGUUGGAGAUUUUGCAUAUUAGAUUCUGUAGAUCUUCUAUGUAUGCGAAGUAGAUGGCAAUGUUAGGUCUGGCACCAUGGUUCCUUAAGAUAAGCUGAUUAUAAUCCUGUAUAGUUUCUGUUCACCUUCUUAGCAGCUAACUGCACGGCAUGGUGGCACAUGCAACAGUAUGAAUUGUAUGUAGUUAAAUAUUUGCAUGUUUAUUAGCUAGCUGUAGAUGUGUGUUACUGUUAUGUAUUGGAAGUCCUGUUAUACGUUGACGGAGAGCAUAAUGUCAUUGAUAUAAUUCUCUUCUCAUUCGACUAUCUACUAUCUGUUUCAAAAUAUCCUAAAGCAUCCUGGUAAGCAGCCAACUGAGCACAUUCUGAUAAAACUGAAUAUCAUGAGUGUCUAAUGUGUCCACUGCAUUUCUUUUUGCCAUUUGCCUUACUUUUUUGGUAGUUUUGGAAGAUUGUUAUUAAGCUUCGCCUGUUUCUUUUAUGUAUAUUGGGAGCUAAAGAUAUAUAUGUGCUUGUACAUUUCAGGUAUUUGAACGGGCAGUACAGUGUUCUUUUCCAACCAUACAAGAGGUUAGAAUGAAUCAUGUUGUUUUAGUUUGGUUACUUUCUGGGUAAAAACCAGAGCAUCCAUUUUAAGAAUUUUUUCUGGUCAAUUCUUGUUAACUGUUCUGGUGGGAUGCAGAUUCUCAUUUAGUUUUUAUUUGGAUGGCUGAACUGCUGCAGUAUCUCAAUAUUUAUCUCACUCGAGUUCAUAGUCUAAGACGGAGGAUUUCAGAUGGGUUGGAUUUCCAGCUGAUCAGGCAGACAUUCAAGGUACAUCUUCUCUAUCACCUCACCAUUUACGUGCAUUUUCUUAAUUUUACUAUAAUUAAUGGGAUAUAAUAUCAGAAUGCUGCAGAAUUUCUCUCACCUCAACUGGGAACCAAGGAGUUACUGCACUUGAAUGCUUAUUGGGCCAAAUUAGAGCGCAGUCUUGGCAAAGAUCUUUCUGCAGCUCGUGUCGUUUGGGAAAACGCUAUCAAAAAAAGGUUUAGUUUUUUGCUUUAUGCAAAUUCAUAAAUGUUUCUUUUUACUGGCUACGUGCGGACCCUUAAAUCUGUCACUAUUUUUCCAGUGGCUCUGUUUUGGAAGUUUGGCAGCAGUACAUUUCAAUGGAGGUAGAAAUGGGACAUAUACAUGAGGCGAGAUCGCUUUAUAAGCGCUGUUAUAGCAAAAGAUUUGCUGGGUCUGGAUCAGAGGUAAGCUCUUCUCAAACAAGCAUCCGAACAUCUCUUUCUUCCUGCUAUCAUGACCUGCAAAGUUGCAAACUUGCUGAUGUACUCUUGUUGCUGCCUGUGAGCCAGAGUCUUAAAUACUAGCUUAAUCAGUUAAUUGCCUCAGUUUAUUUUUGUGAAUACCAUCAUUGUUAGUAUUUUGAUAUGAUAAAUCUCAUGAAUACUGAUGAUUUAAUUUUCAACGUUAUGAUCUUAAACUUACUAGGACAUAUGUCAUGCAUGGAUAAGAUUUGAAGAGGAGCAUGGCACCUUGGAUGAUUAUGACCUUGCUGUAAAAAAGGUAUGCUGCUGGCUGCUAGAUGUUUUUCUAUUUCACCUGUUCAUUAGGCUUUCUGCUGAGUGUGAAUUGGAAUUAUUUUUUCUGGGGAACAAAAAAAUUGGUUUGACGUCCACUUCUUGCUCCUUCAGCAUUAUCUUUGUGUAUGUGAGUGAAUGCUCCUUCAGUUGGUCAUACUCCAUAAAAAAGAGCAACUGAUAAUAUCUGCCAAACCAAUCUAUUCAUUAAUAACCAAGAGUAUACCAUAAGUUUCUGAAGAUUCCUGGUUACUUCUACAUAAAGUUGAUAACUCAUGAAAGCUUUUGACAUUGUUCGUAUUUUAAUGUGAUUAAAUCCUCUGUGCAAUCAUCAGAUGUUGACGCCUUGCGUGUUAUUUAAUAUUUCAGGGGUUAAAGUGUUAGACAUGCUGAGUUGAUAUCUAUUCAACUGUAUACGGUGUUUCUAUCUGAACUGUAUGAGCUAGGUGAUAGCAUGGGUUCCCGAUUUAUCAUAUUAACUACAGUUUUGAACUUGUUCUCCUCCCAUUUGACCAGGUCACCCCUCGGCUAAAGGAGCUUAUGGUGUUCAAGUCUCAAGAGGAGGCUAAAGUCGAGGCUUACUCUAUGCUCAAUGAUAAUUCUAAUGCAGAUGACUCUUCUCAGAAAAGAAAAGCAAGUAAAAUGACCAAUAAACAGCAGCCCCCUGCUAAGAAAAGGAAAGAGAAUCCACCAAAAAGUGUCAAGUCAUCAGACGACCAAGAAAAGACCCAAAGUGGACAUAGUGGUGCUGUUACUGCUGUAGAGGUUGGAGAGGCAUCCACAGAAAUGAAAGUGGACAGCAACUGCCGAACAGGGAAUACAGGUUCAAAUGAACCAAAACCAUCCUUCUACAAUGACAAGUGCACAGUAUUUGUCUCAAAUAUAGACUUGAAGGUAUGUCAUUUUUCAUUUUUUUUGAUGCAUGUAGCUCCUGAAAUUUAAUUAACCAACUCGUUACCCUCUCUCUGUAGGCAACUGAGGAUGACCUUCGCCGGUUCUUCUCUGACAUUGGUGGUGCCACAGCAAUAAGAUUGCUGAAGGACAAAUUCACCAAAAAGUCAAGGGUAUGUGUUACACUUAUUCUUAUAAUAAUGUUUUUGUCUCUUGGGUUCCAUAGUGUAAAUAAUAGCUUGUUUGUUGAAUUCUGUACAUAGCAUCAUUACACUAUAAAAUAAGGCAUUAGUAGAUUAUGCUUGCUCCUGGAUUAGUUCACUAGAUGUUCUUGUAGUUUUUAUUUCUUAGGCUGAAACUACAAUGUUAGGUUGAAGAGGCACGCAUGACAUCUCAAAGUGCAUAUUUGAAUGCACGUGACGCCACACUCUGCCCAAAAACUACUCCUAUGACCUAUCCUUCUCCAGCUUCAUGAUUCCCCACUACUACAAUGUCCAGCCUCCUGACGAGCCACCCAGGCAGAGCCCCUUUCCUGCCAAUGAUGAGUAAGGCAUGGGGCUGUGCUCACUAAGAAAUACACUAGAUGCUCCAGUAGUUCCUUGAUACAAAGUGCAAACUGAGUUUGCCACUAAGUAUACGUGUAUUCAUGGAAAUUAGUGACUCUAGUGGACUUUUAUGUUUUCGCUAUUUUGGCACUGUAUUUCCCAAACGUUUGAUACUAUUGGAGUGUUAGGAAGAAAUGUUUUUCUUCAAAUAGUCGUCGGGCUCAGAACAUAUGCAAACUAAAGUGCCAUCAUCCUGUUGCUUUUGGCAUUAUGCAAAUUGGUAUUAUGUUCAGAGAAUAUUUGUCUCUGUGUUUUAAGAUAAUUACUACAGAAUUUGGAUUUCAUUUUUCAUUGAUUUGUUUUUCCUUAAUAUUUUUGCAGGGGUUGGCCUAUGUGGACUUUUCAGACAACAAGCAUCUUGAGGCAGCCCUUCAGAAAAACAAGCAUAGGUUGCUUGGAAAGAAAGUGAGUAUCGCUCGAUCAGAUCCAAGCAGGAGUAAGAAGAGCCGUGAGGCAGGUCCUUCCUCCAAAGGCUACGGUAUGUUCUUUGACCAGUUGACGACAUUUUCUUUUUGACUGUUGUCCUAUUUGAAAAUUGCAUCAACAGAUCAACCUAAAGCUAUACCGAUAAGGGCAAGAAUUUUAGAACCCCAUAUUGCACUUGGAUAGUGGAGACUGGCACUCGCUUAUUAUCACAUUCAACACCUGGUCUUUUCUGUUUUGGACCAAAACUAGUUUAUAAGAUUUUGGGUGGAAACCACGAGUCAAGUGGAAUCUUGGAAGCUACACUGUAAAGUAUAUGCUGAAGUUUUGAAAAAAAAACUCAAAAAACAAAAGUCAACCACACAGUUUCAGAUUAAACUGCACACAUGCUUUUUUUUAGUAGAUCUUCUGUACAUGUGCAUAAGACUAGAACUAGAGAUCUGCAUCACUUUUGCAUGUUAAUCGUGACUGAUGUUAUGGGGUACAUCUACAUAGCACCUAUCUGAUUUUUGCAAAUUAUCUUCUUUCUGCAGAUAACUUGCCUCAGAGUGGUGAUGAUGGUGCAAAAGCACCUGGAUCCAGUAGACCAGAAAAAGAAGUACCCAAAGGUGAUGUGAAAAUCACAGGGAAGAACACUGCUUUUGCACCACGAUCUGUGGUUAAACCUCUUGGGUGGACUACCAAGGAUGAGAAGCCAGAUGGUGGUGCAGGAGAGUUGAAAUCAAACGAGGAGUUCAGAAAUCUGUUGCUUAAGAAGUGAUGUUAGUAGGCAGGUUAGUACUUUAUCAUCUUUACAGUAGAUGUCCAAGCUAGUGUCUGUACAACCACCACCCCACGCACAUAUUUCUGGGCCCGCGAUGUAUGUUUCAGCGCUUAGCUCUUGUUGCCUGCUUUAGGCUUUGAAGAAACUUUAUACAGGAUCCUGCAAUUCUGUUUGUUUCCUCAGCUGCAAAUUUUAAGUACCUGGCACAUGACAAUAUUUUAGUACUAUGUUUCAAACAUCCGCAACCCGCCACUGUAUAUCACUGAUUUUUGUUGGAUGAGUCAACUCAUAGCUGCUUGCAAUGUGUGCAGGCGCGUGGAUCUCCAUGCCCCAUCCAGCUUGAUCUGUUUAGAUUUCCAGUGGUUUCAUGAUUAUGUUAGACCGACUUCUACCACUUCAACUAGGAAAUCGAGGACAAUGAGCACCUUGGAAAUUCAGAAUCAUUGGCCAGGAGCAAUGGAUAUGAAAUCGAGGACAAUUAGCAUCUUGGAAUUGAGAAUCAUGGCCAUGAGCCAUGGAUAUUUCUGUUAAUCGAGGGAGGUUAUAUGCCAUGUAGAAACUAGUCCUUUGCAGGGAAUUAUGUGCGGUUGCGUCCGAGCAGAAAAACCCCGACCAUGUAAAGCAAAAACAGCGAUCUUAAGAUAUUACGUUUGUUUUUAGUAUUUUUGGUAGAAUGUUCAAACUUACUGUCUCUCUGGCUGCUAAAAAUGUUUAAACUCGUAUUCCCUUCGUUUUAAAAUGUAGGUCGUUUUGACUUUUCUAAGUGCAUAGAUUAUGCUAGGUACCUAAGUAAAAUCUAUUUAUCUAGAAAACUCAAAACGACAUACAUUUUGGAAUGAAGUGAGUAACUAUUUAUUUAGUGUUAGGCAUUAUCUUUUCAGCUCAGCAGUCCAACAGAGCUUUGCCUGCAUCUUGAUAGAACUGAAACUGAUUGCCGAAGAGUAAGGGAACUUAUUGGCUAAAAUAGUCAAAGGUGGCCGGUGAAAGUUACAUUUUGUUGUUGAUUUUGGCAAAAAAAAAUUAACAUAAAUAAGGCUUUUUAGAACAGGCGUGCUCUAAAGUAAAACCAUGCGCGUUUUGAGAUCCUGAAAAAAGCUGCUUGCUGGUACGAAGAGUUUGUAAAGAAAUCAGAUUGAGAUAUUUGCACACUGAUGUUGGUGAAUAUAAGACAUUAACACAAUUAUUUCCAUCUGAAGACGUUCCUUGAAACUCAGAUAAAUUUCAACGAAAGCCAUCACAUCACAGCAGCCUUCCCAAUCACAUGACACCAUUGAGAUCAAAUGAUUAUACGCUAAAAAAUUAUCCACCACGCAUGCCAACUUUUAUUAAUGCCCCGGGCGAAAACCAUGUUCUUCUCUCACACCGCACACACCACACUGAGCUAAAUUAACCCACACGAGAACACCAGCCAUCUAAGAAUUAAGAAGAGCAGCUAACAAUCUCCUAAUGAUAUCGAAUUCAAAUGAUGACGUCGAGGGGCGACGAAGGCGGCGCGGUGGAGGCCGCGGCGGCGCUGGCGUCUAGUUGCCCUUGGCGAUGAGCUCAUGGGCGGCCGCGACGGUGGGCAGCGCCGGGAUGGCGCCCUUCUGGGUGGUGCAGAUGGCGCCGCAGGCGUUGGAGAACUUGAGCGCCUCGCGGAGCUUCUCCUCGUUCUGAAAGGAAGGAUUAACACCAACGACAUGAUUAGUAAAGACACUUGAUUAAACAGAGAGAUGCUACUAAUCUUGUUACGCAGAUCAAUCGAUGAGGAAUCAUACGUGGAAGAUGGAGUCGUCCUUGGCGACGUUGACGAGGAGAGAGCCGACGAAGGCAUCACCGGCGCCGGUGGUGUCAAUGGUGUUCACCUUGUAGCCGGGAACGCUGCCCUUGAAGUCCUGCAAUGAGACACAGCGACCAUGUUAAUUUCUUGCAAGAAUUAACCUUCGUACCAAAUUGGACGACAGUGCAAGUUAAAAACACACACAAAAAAAAUCGAAC
This 55408-nucleotide long non-coding RNA is filed under the name Setaria viridis. RNAcentral describes it as "long non-coding RNA (SVIR_LNC006427)". The record is from RNAcentral. Lineage: Eukaryota; Viridiplantae; Streptophyta; Magnoliopsida; Poales; Poaceae.